GAACACGCAGCCAUACUCAUAAUAAGUUCCAGUUUACAUCAUAAUGCCUCCCCGAAUGUAAACGCAAUAUUUGCUGUCCCUUGGCAUAUCUUCAUCGUAUUUUUUGAGAAACAAGCGACAACCAAUAGCAAAUCUUAAAUCAAGAUGAACUUUCAUUUGAUGGUUUCUGAUUGAAUUGAAUGAGAGUUGGGCACACCGCCGCACACAUAACUAGUCAUAGAGCACAUACGUGUCGUCCCUUUUUUUUCCAAUUGACUAAAAAUGGUGCAACAUCUACUAACAUAGCUUUUAGAGUUUUAGGUUAUAUAUCAAGUUUAUUGUUGAUAUUGAAAUUUACUUCUCGUUAGAGAUGGCAUGGAGAAAGUAUACAUGAAAUGUAUUUUUUUUUUUUUUUUUUUGUGUAGUAGAAGCUAAACGGCCGCCCUCAUGUCUUAACUAUUAACAAAACCGCAGAAUACAAAAAGAGGAAGGGGGACAUAAAGUCUAAAUCCCAAAUUGCCUAAGCAUCCUGAAAUAAUAUUUAGAGUUUUCAAUCCUAUGCAUUCUAACAAGCACCAUUUAGCAAGAAGUGCAUCAUUGACUACUCUAUUUGCCUUACAAAUUUGACGACAUACCGGAAAAACAAUGUUUAUGCAGAGCCAUAAGUUACUAUAUUUAACAGAUUUCCUACCAUAUUGCCACUGGAAGAUAGUGCCACUGGAGAAGGAUCUCUCGUUUUUCUCUCUAGUGCGUGGAGGCGCGUUCAAACCCAACAUGAAAGGAAAAAUAAAAACUAUCAACUUAAAAUAGUUUUUGUAUAUCCAAUAACUAACUUAUUGUUAGGAUACUACUUUAGCCACUCAGCUUUGACCGGAUGAUUACAUUUUAGUAGAAUCAUAUAUAUUUCCGAGUUUCGGUUAAAAUUUGUCACUUAAUUAACUAUAUUUUUCAUUUUUAGAGUUAAUCGUCACUUACGUAAUGUUGCUCUUAUUCCUUUGUUUUAUGUCUUCUCGUUCCCUUCUUUCAUUGAGGUUGGCUUAGUCAAAUACAACCCGAUAUUGUCGAGCAUGCAUAAUGUUCACGUCUUAUUGAUACAGGGGUUUUGGCCUCGAACAAUUUAGAGACUAUAGAAUCAGUUCCUUUUGAAAUUUUAUUUCAUUCAUGUCGGAAUCAAAAUAACUAGAUAUCAUUCCUCUUCCAUUAUGACAAUACAUUUUCUCUUUAAAACCAACCCAACCCAACCCUCAACCGUUAUAAGUGGUCUAGUGGUCAUGCACCCAUGUACAGAACCCCCCAACCCGCUUUCGACUUACGAAGCCGUCAAAGCGAAUAGACAUUGUGUCACAAACUCACAACGCACAAUUUUGCUACUGUGUCGACCUGUCCAGAUACAACCCGGCCCAGCCUUUGAACUCUUCGAAAGUCCAAACCAUAAAUAAUAUAUAUAUAUAUAUAUAUAUAUAUAUAUAUAAAAUCACACGCUGACGUGGCAAAAUCUGGAGGUACCUCGAGUGGCCGAGUCAUUUUCUUUCGCCCCCUCUCAAUUUCCGCAGCAAUGGCGGUUGGCUUCUUCAAGCCAUUGUUGCCCAUCAUCCUACUCUCCUCUCUUCAUCUCUACGACGACUGGGUCUCCACUCCCUCAUGCAGACCCGUACCCGAACCCGACCCGGCCCAUUCCCAGGCCCACCCGGACGACCUCAAGGUCAUGAUGGUCGCCAACCUCCUCCUCCUCGGCUCCCACUCCAGCUACCUCGACCUCCUCUUCCGCGACCACUUCGUCUCCAAGUUCUUCGCUGUAAGUAAAUUCCCCAUUCUACCCUCGCCAAUAUCCACAUAUUACAGACUGAGCCGGAUUACCUGAAAUCUGUUGUGAAAUCUGAAAAAACCAGAGAUCGUUCCGGACUCUGGGGCCGGACAUGCUUCUGGUCCUCGGCGACGUCUCGGCGCGUGGUCACCACUUGCCGAGGAGCGAGUACGCGUCGGUGAUCCGGCAGUUCCACCGCGUGCUCGGCCCGUUUCUGGACCUGCCGCUCCACGUGGCGCUCGGCGACCGCGACGUCGGGGAAUGCGGCGGCCUGAGCGAGGAGGCGGUGGGGUGGAUCGCGAGGAGGAUGCCGGGGCUGGACUCGGCCGGGUGCGGAGCCUUCGAGAUCGGCAACGUCAGCUUCGUGUCGCUAAACGCCGUCGCUUUGCUGUGUGGGAACAGCGGGCUGAGGUUUAGUGUGGAGAAGGCGGUGGAGAGAGAGAGCGUGGAUUUUCGAGUUGAAAAUGAGGCGGUGAGGGGUGGUGAGAGUGAGGUGGAGAGGAAGGAGGCGAGGGUUUAUGAGUUUGGGUGGAGAGAGAAUGCAAUGUCAGCUGGUUCUGGUCCGGUGGUUUUGCUUCACUUUCCGUUGAGCCGAAAUGUGACUCCUAGUUUCGGUGGGAGUAGUAACAUUUUCGACGGCAGGUUUGUUGUAGCUCUCUUCAUUUCGUGUGUGAUUGUGCUGAUUAAGGGCAAUGUGUGUUGUUUUUCGCUGUAGAACUGCGAAGAGGAGAUGCUAAAUGUGUUGUGUUUGGAUUAUAUUUGACAGGGAGGAUGUCGGGAGAGGGCCGUACGAUUUGUUACAGAAGCUACCACCAAAUGCUACUGAAUACAUAUUUCAAGCUCUCAAGCCAAGGUGAGUUCACGCUUUACGUUUUUAUGGCAUUGCCUGGGUAGAGAUUUGACUCUUGAUGUUUUGUAUACACAGUUAGGGUAGUAUAGGCCAGUGAGAUUUUCGCAGUCAAAAUAGCUGUUUGAGUGGGAAUGUAGGAUAGUUAUAGGUUGUGUACAACUGUACAUGUUAUUCACGGACACUAUAAGAGUGGGAGCCUCAUUGCCUGGGUUUCCAUUUGUUAGAACAUUUGUGUACGUCAUCUAUAUAGAAGAGUGUUUAGGCACGUAAAAUUGUGUAUAUGCUCAUUGUCCUUGGAUGGAUUCUCUUCCAACAGUGAGCCACACUUUUUAUUUAGAUGGUUUAUGCAUUUGUCAUUUUAACCACUCAAUUGUCCACCAUACAUGUAUGCACUCUAUAAAAUUCUGAGGGUUAUGUGCUUGAGGUUGUUCUGUAUAUAGACAUUAUGAGUUAUAAACUGAAGUUCCUUAACUAAAAAAUUGUCUUCAACCAUUAGAUAAUAAUUAGUGGCUCUGAUCCAUACUGUAUGAGAUCAUCAGUUACACAAAAUGAGAAAGGAAUCCUUAUCAGAUAAUUAUCUCAUCCAUACAGUUCAGUGGUGUAACAAUUUUAGGGUCUGAUAUAACAUUUCUUCCAAUCACAUAUAAAAACAGUGAAUGAAUCUAACUUGAUUUAUCAAUAUAUUUAGAGUUCAUUGUACUUGUGUAUGUGGAGAACCAAACCAUUUAGCAUAUCCAUUAUUAUCCUUGUAAUAAGAUAGAUGUUCAAGCUUCUGGGAAGUUACUAUUAGUACUACUCACCUCACCAUGCUGAGGGUUGGCAAACUAAAAUUCUCAGAAGUUGAGGUGAUAAAUUUCAAAUAUCAGGAGUAUUGCUUGUAAAUGUCAUAAUGCUUGAGAAAACUUGGAGGACCAGUAGAUGAAUAUUGAAUAGAUAGUUCUGCCUGAUAGAAUGAUUACCUAAUGUACCUUAAUUCUAUAAAUAUCCCUAUCUUUAGUCCUAAUGGUGGUUCAUGCACAUUUGAUGUUAUAGUGUUCAUUGAUCCCAUUGUUGGUUUCUGUGCUGAACUGAAAGAUUAUGGGUUUAUUGUGGAUCACUAUAUGAUUAAUUACUAAACACUUCACCUGUUAGUCAUUGUUCACCAAUUUAUAACUCAAAUACACUCAAUGGUAUAGCCACAUGUGGCCUAUAAGCUAAUCGUGUUGUGUUUCUUCCUUGUGUGUAGGAUUGUUUUCAGUGCCCACACUCAUGAAUUCUAUGAUCACUUCCAUCCAGAUGGAACCCGUGAGGUUACUGUUCCGGCCAUGACAUGGAAUGCAAGGAAUGAUCCUGGAUUUGUUAUUGCCAUUUUCCGAAGGAAUGGAGGUGCUGUAAGCAUCAGCUAUUGCUCUCUUGCUAGGGAAUCUCACGUACUUGUAGCCUAUGCAUUUCUUCUGAUUCUUUCGGUAUCAAUGCUGGCUUUCUCAAGCACGCCUAGUUUAAGAUCUUUGAAGACUAUGAUAUCCUGAUAUCUGUCCUACAAGUGUGUUGUGCAUUACUUUCCGUAGAAUUUUGUAUGUACAUUACUAUAGUCUUUGGGUGAGCGAAAAUCUCGCGUGGAUAUAGCUGUGUUAUUAAGUCAUAUACCAUAGUUGAAGAGGUGGAGGUACAUUGUGCUACUACUAGGAUGAGAAAAAGAAAGAAAAUAAUGGAAAUCUCCUAUCGCAGCCCCGUUUGGGUUGUUUUGAUAUCAUUUUGUUUCAUGGUGGGAAUGGAAGAAAUUUUUGAAGCUGCAGCUGUAGGUUGGCUCUGACUAAUUUGUUGUUUUUGAAUCUGAACUAGAGCUUUGAUUUGAAACAAUAAAAUGGGCUCCCAAUUGAGCUUAAUAUGCAAAGAUUGAAUAGAUUUCUUGAAUAGUCUUUGACUUUUGGAUGGCUAUAUUCUGUAUGAGGAUCACAGAUGAGUGGCAGAGUGAGGCACUUGCAUAUAAAUCCAUAUUUUGACUUGGUUUUUGGAAGAAAUAUGCAGGAGUACCACUCAGCAACAUCAAGACCUUUGGUGUUACUGAAUUAUUUACCAGCCAUUAACCAAAGGUCAGGGUAUGACAAUCUGCCAGAAAACGAAUGCUCCUUUAGAGUUGCAUAUGUGAGUCUUUUUCUGCCAUGACUCGUACCUAAACUUCUAACUCAGCAUGAUAUGAAUCUAUUGCUAUAUCUAUCACUCCAUUUAAGUUGUAUUUGACAAUUAGCUCUGGAUGUUGCCCUCAUUUGACUUCUGAUAUAGCUAAUUUCACUUGAGCAAUGGAUGCAUCUGAUAUUCUUGAUUUAGACAACUAAUGGUUUGUCCUAGUGGUUAAGGUAAAUCAACAAUGUUUAAUAGGCACGAUUGUGAAAUCUUAUUGUAGAAAUGUAAGUUGUAGAAAUAGUAAAUGAGUUAGCUAAACCCUAAGAUAACUAAUGUUCUGUGUGAUUAGUUUUUCUAAGCUUUUCGACUUGUACAUUUUCCAUUAUACGUGCAGUGCAUUAGUAAGUCCACUUUCCUUUUGCACAAUACAACCUCUUGAUGCCCCUUUUGCUUAUCAUCAAGAAUGACUAGUACACAGGGUUGAUUAAAUGGGCAAGAAUGGUAGCAUGCCAUGAGCAGAAAGACAGAACAGCUUAAACUACUACUCAAGACUGGUUGCUUUAUGCCAUCAAUUUCAAAAUCAAUGAAAACAUUUAAAUCAUGUUUAGUUCCUUUUAGAUUAGCUGUUGCAAGAUGCAACGAUUGCAACCCUUCAUAUCAAACAAUGAUAUCAAUAGGGUACUCUACAUCACCCACAACCAAGAAACGCGAACCUUCUUCCACCACCAUCCAGCCAUCUUCAUUUGCAUGGCUGAGGUGCUCACAAGGGUUCAGCAUGAAUUCAAGUUCAGCCUUUUCUCCAGCGCUUAGUAUCACACUCUUGAAUCCAACCAACUGUUUCAUUGGACUUCCAUUUGUCGGGUUUUUCCGACUAACAAAUAGCAACACUGGAUGCUUACCAGCCAUCUCUCCCUCAUUCUUAGCCCCAACUGUGACCUUGAACAACUUUUUCUCACAGAGUUCUUCACCUAGAUCAGAAACUAACUGGUAGCGUCCGGAGUCUGAAUUCUUAGCUGCUAGACCAACCGAUGACUCAUUCAGGUAGACCUUGUUCUGGGUCACUGAAGAUACAAAAUUGUAAGCAUAGUUGGAGUAGCUGAGGCCAUAACCGAAAUCAAACACUCUUUUCCCUGUGUAGAAUCUGUAAGUGCGCCCAGGAUAGCCUGAUCUUUUGUCAGGCCUCAUCCUCAUGUCUGUCAUUAGUGUUUUGAUGUAAUCUUGUGUAUACCAUGUGACUGGCAAUCUUCCACCUGCAUAGCAACAUUAAAUCAGUCUCAAAGUAAAGCUUUCUUUUGCUAGAUAGUCGAACAUGUUAUGUUACCAGACUGUCAAUCCAGAGUCUAAACCAGUAAUUAAGUGAACUCUUGUUGAACUGUGUGGUCCAAAUCGACAGUCGGAUAACAUAACAUGUCACGUUAGCAAAAGAACAUUACAGUAGUUCGUCGUUAAAUUUACCUGGGUUGUGAUCACCAAAGAUGACUUCUGCCAGGGCAGAUCCACCAGCUUCACCUGGAUAUCCAGCCCACAGGAUGCUUCCUAUUUUUGGAUUAUACUUCGCUGCAGAUAUGUCAACUGGACCCCCAGAGAGAAUCACAAGAAUCACUGGUUUCUUGGCGGCUUUAGCCACACUGCUAAUGAGUUGCUGUUGCUUACCAGGCAAGUUUAAGUGGUCUCUAUCGUGCGCCUCUCUCUCUUCACCUUGGUCCAAUCCCACAAUCAAAACCACAUAAUCUGCCUGCUGUGCUACUCUAACAGCUUGAUCAAUCGUAGGAUUAGGGCAUUUAACUGUAUCACAUCCAGGGUGGUAUACUGUUUUCUUAGCAUAACCUAGCAGUCCUUGUAACGGUGUAAUGAGCUUGCACGGUGGACCGUGAUAGUUUCCGAGAAGUGUUUCGGAAGCAUUGGCAUUGGGACCGAUUACAGCAAGUGAAAUGCCCUUUGAUUUUGGUAGUGGGAGUAGUUUGCCCGCGUUCUUCAAAAGCACGAUGCCAUCUUCAGCAGCUUCUAGUGCUAAAGCUUGGUGCUGUUUAGAGCACACUUUCUCUGGACCAAUGUUGCCGAAAGGUAGCUUGGUUGGGUUGCCAUCAAACAGACCUAACCUCAUCCUUAUAGAGAACAAGUUGUGGAGGGCUUUGUCUAUGUAUGAUACGGGCAGCUUUUUCUGCUGCACUGCAUUCUUUGUGUGAUUUUGCAAGUAGGUUCCACAGUUCACAUCCAUGCCUGCACGCAUAAAAACAGAACAUUUUACCUAUCUUCCAACCUUUCUCAAUCGAAUCUAGAGUAAUCAGACCAUGAAUCUUUAACCAUCACACACAACCGCAGUAUACAAUUCUUCUCACAUUCAACCCGUCACAUUUUAGUCAUGGAUCGGCGUUGUGAAAGAUGUGUACGUGAAUGCUUGCGUGCAAGAGUUUCGACACCUCAAUUACGUGUAUACAUGAUUAGUUAUUGCGAAAGAAACAUUUGUCUGUACUAGUUUGUCUAACACUAGAUUUGCCUUAAAAGAACAAAAAUUAUCACUUUUACAAAAAAAAAAAAAAAAAAGGAACAAAAGUUAUAUUUCCAUUAAUUCAGAGUCCAAUUUUGCUUGUCAUUUGUUAGCAAAAACAGGGUACCAAUAAUACACUUCCUAGAAAGAGAAAAAGAUCACUUUGAGGGCCACACUAGGAGAUGGCAUAUAUAGGACCAGUUACUUUAAAAAUUGACUUUCAGGCAAAACCCAUACAAACUGUUGGGCCUAUUGGACCAUAAUGGGCCAUGGUUUACCAAAUAAUGUAUCCAUGUGAGCAUGUCAAAUAAGGAAUCCAUGUGAGAAUGUCAAAUUUUAUCCAUCGAAAUAGGAAAGAAACAGAAGGAUGAGUUCCCACCAUACCUGCUUUCAGGACGUCGACGACGGCAUCUUCCGGGUGCUUAGCGUAUCCUUGCACGUCGUAAAUAAUGCUCACGGCGUCACAAUCCGACGUGAUAUAUCUGAUCAAUACCGAUACAAAAAGAUACUUGUUAGGUUUUAAAUUUUUAAUCCUAAACCCUAAUUUAAACGACUGUUUCUAACACUGGUAACUAAAAGAAAUGUUCAGGUUAUUGGCUAAGCUCCACUUAUGACUUUAAGAGCAUAAGUGGAGCAUCUCUAGCAAUACAGUUAAAUUUAUUGUUAAAUUUGUCAACAUUUAGAUUUAAAAUAGCAAUUUUUAAACUUUUGCUCCAGCAGUAUUGUUAAAUUGUAUACAUUAACUAAGUUUUAGUUAAUUGUCUCCCCAAAAUUGAUAAAUUUAUCAAUUUUCUCUAUCAAUUUCUAAAUUUAUCAACUUCUUAAGUAUACUGCUGGAACAAAUAUUCAUUUAAAAAUUAAUAAAUCUCUAAUUUUUUUAAUUUAUCAAUGCUACUGGAGAUGUUACAACCCAGUACAAUAAGCAUAUCCUCGUUUACGUGCAUGUACGUGACUCAAUCAUUGGUUAAUUCAAUUUACCUUUUUAAACGAGACUCCGCAAUGAGUUGUGUAAAAAUGUGCAUACACUAAUUUUUACGUGUGCCGCACAUGUGUGUGAAUUGUUAAUCGCAUUUACCCUACUACACUAGACCGCGUUCAUAGUGAUUGAUCUGCUUUAAGUUCAUCGUGCUAAGGCAAACAAAUUUGAUGCAUGAGGCAUGUAGUUGUUGUUGUGAGGGUGAGAUGUGUUUACCCAUGAAAACCCCAUUCUCCUCGAGCAGUCUUGGUUAAGAGAUUGUGAUCUGCACAGCUUGGGACUCCAUUAACUUGGUUAUAAGCACACAUGAUGCCACUGGCUUUGCCUUGCUCGACGCAACUCUUGAAUGGAGGCUGAUACGUGUCUGCUAGGUCUUGCUGAGUCACCUGCAACGCAUGCAAAGCAAAGGCAAACAAACAAACUCCUUUGUAAGAUUUUGUGGGCAAGCAGAUCUUGGAUAACUGAUAUCUCUUCUCAUCUCAAACCCGAAAAGAAAUAGGCUCAGGGAAACACGUCGAUUCACAUAAUGGAUUAUAUGAUUAUGUUUGUUAUGUAUUCUCGGCUAAGUUGCACUCUUUUUUCCUUUCUCAUUUUCUUGUCACGUUAUCAUUGUGUUUAUUAUACAGAGGCAAAGAUUUUAUGAGACAAAUAGAAAGCAUUCUGAUUAUUGUCGGUAUGCAAAAAUAUUUGGCAUUUCAUCUUCAUUGUACACUUAUAAGAAUGGUAGUUGAUGAGCAGUGACUUGCCAGUUAUCGAGAAUGAUUGACACCGUGAAGAUCACAAAUUAUUAACAUUAUGAGAUAUGUGAAAUGAGGUUAAAAUUUGUCGUCUCUCUUAAAGAAAAUAACAUUUGUUACUUUUUCUGAUUCUCAUCGACUCUAUUUUUUGUUGUAUUUGAAGAAAAGACACUGGUUUUAGACCCUAAUCAGAUUUUUAUUUUUUUAUUUUUUAUAAUUAAGGCAGACAUGAUAAUUUGUGAUUCUGAGGAAAAAAAUAAUAAUAUCAUUGUGAUAUUCUAAAAGAGAAAAAAGAACAAGAACAAAAAAAAUUGAAUUAUCAACUGACAAAUAAUUCAAAACCCAAGAAAGAGCUCGUGAUUUCACCAAUCAAAAUUGAAAAAAAAUAAUCGAUGGCACCUAACUCGAUAAAGUUUCAUGCAUUGGUCCACAACAACAGUCACAAAGCGACUCACACCAAAUUCCAAAAGAAAAUAAACAAACUCAUCAAACAUUCGAGGCAAAGAUCUCUGCAUAUGAAAACACACCAAUGGAAGAACACCGAAGAUUGAAGAAAACUAACCUUGGCAUUAAACCCAAAACGAGUCACAUUGUUCCAGUUGUCCAGAUCGUACGCCGUGAAAUGCUUACAACAAGCAGAGGCCUGGAGAUGGCCACCCACCUUCAGCUUCCCUCCUUCAUAUGAAUCACCCUGAACCCCCCGGACAUACGCCACCGAGUAUUUUGCCGUCAUCAAUGGGUCUUCUCCGGGAGUCUCUUGCCCUCUCCCCCAUCUUGGGUCCCUGAAAAUGUUUAUGUUUGGUGCCCAAAAUGUCAUUCCCGUCGCUUGUCCUGCAUUGUACACUGCCCUCGCUUCGAUUCCGAUCACCUAACCGAUUCAUGCACAUGUUACAUACAUUUCGAUUCUAAUUAACGCAUCCAAAACGAAAAUCGAAAUGGUAUGAUAACUAGGGCCUCCAAAAUAAAAGGCGAAAUGAUAUAAUAACACCACGAAUCUACUAACUAGGAUAAUGCGGAUUUUGUUUGAACAUCAAAGUAAAGUAAAAGUAAACGGAAAGGCAAAUCAAAUUUCAUCAAGAACAUUAAAGAGGCGGUUUUGAAUUUCAAAAGUGGGGUUACAAAAUGGUUGUGCUCUAAUAAUUCCGAUCAACGAGUAACAGAUCAUGCCGAGUUUGACUCAGUGUGUCACAUUUUUGUUGUGAAGUACAAGAGAUCAAAUAAACAGAAAAACAAAGAUCAUGCCCGAGUUGAACUGUUUAACUCAGUGUACCACAUUUUUGUUCCUAAGAAAAAGAUAUGAAAAACACAAAAAACGACCAAAUGGGUUUUGCUUUGGAGCUGAAAUAACGAGUUGGGUUGCAACUGUUUUGAGCAAAAGAGUAAAGACAAUGACCGAGUUGGGUUUUUGACUCGGUGGCCGUGAGUCGUUACCUGACCGAUCCGAUACCAGAGAUGCUCAUUGAAAGAAGCAGCGGUUAAUAUGACUUGAGGGAAGCUGGUGGCGCUGUUGAUGGUGCUGUAGAGACGGAUGCCUUUGCCGACGUCAGCGACGCCGUGAAGAGCCUCCGACCACCACUCGUAACUCGGGAUGCCGAGUCGGGGAAUCGGAGGGGCCGAGUUGACGAGUUGGGAGAUCUUCUCGUCCAAUGUGAGACGGGAGACGAGGUCAUGGACUCUUUGGUUGAUGGGGAGGGUGGUUUUGCAGAAAAGGAAGGACUCGGUUGAAGGGUUGGACGAGUCGCAUGAAUAUGGAGGCUGAGUUGACUCGGUGAGGAAGAUGAGGGUGGAGAAGAAGAUAAGAGGGAUGAGAAUGAGAGCUGGGAGCUUCAUUUUGGUUGAGAUGCAGAAAUGAUUGCAGAAAGAGAGAGUGAGAGAGUAGUUAUAUAGCAGCUGGGGAUGGACCUAGCUCGGUCUCCCACUCGAUCGACUGUUAAAAUUUCAGGGCGCCUUUCCUCAUAUAGCAUUUUACUCCUUGGUCCUUGCCUUUUCUAUUAUGAGUUAUUACAAAAGUUUAAUGAUAUAGGAAAAAAGUUUGCAUCUCUUGUUAUCAAAUUGGUCAAGUGUUGUCAAUAUGAGUGAUUUAGUUAUAUACGAUAAUAACCUGACUUUGAUGUACAUUUUAUCGAACAAUUAAUAAAUAUUAACAAAACUAUCUCACAUGUACAUAUUUGUUUAUAUAAAAUGAUAUCUUUGAUAUCUAUGAUUGUUUCACCUAAUGACGAAUAAGUCUUUCAUUGAAUCGAUGAAUAACAUUGAGUGUUUUUAUGGAUUAUUCAUAGGUUGCCAACAUCAUCACCAUCUUGAUCUUUUUGUUAUUGCAACAUACCUUCGACUGUUCCACGCCUCUUACCAUCUCAUUGUGGCUACUUUCAAAACACUUACAAAUUUCAAAGCGUUAAUGAGUUCUGAAUACAAGUUUUGAUGGUUUACAUUGCUUUUUGGUCAAUGGAAUUGUUGAUCUUACUUACCAAAAUAGUAUCCAUGCCAUUUAGUGUGAGGAGGAGACCCGAUCAUCCCGCCCUGUUCUUUCUUUAAACUUUUAACGACUCCCACAAACAAAGAUUUUGCUUCACACAAAUGUGUUGUCCAACAAUUUACAACUCGAAACUCCACGAACUUUCAAUCCAACAAGUUAGCUUAACCAAGAAUGAAUAGAUUACAGGGAAUGCAAACGUAGAUGCAUGAUGAAGGAAGACAAUUAAGAGUACCUACAAAUUCAUGUUUUCUUAGAAAGAUAUACAUACACGUAGUAGCCAACUAAUAAGCCAAUGUGGUAGCAGGUAAGUAAAUUCUAUACAUAUGUUUGUUUAAUUGCUACGUACUUCUUCCCAUUUUUUCCCCACUAGAAGGUUUCAUGUCUUUAUUCUCAUUAUCCAUAUUUAUAGCUGGUGAUAUAUAUCGGAUUAUAGGUAACUCUCUAAUCUUGGUAAUUAGUCACAUAUCGUUAAGUAGGUAACUACCUACUUAAAUUCUUAACCAAUCUUUAUGUGGGCUGCAAUAAGGUCAUUUACAACUAGGUCAUGCAACGGGUUUUUGCGUUCUAGGCACUUUGGUGAUGAAGAUUUCUUGUGCCAUUGGCAUUCCUUCAUCUUCACCAUGUCCAGAAAUGCAAUCAUCUAGCUUGUUCAGUAGUGGAGGUCAAUAAGUCAGCUUCUUCUUCAUCGUCAAAUUAAAGAGCCGAAGAACUUGGCCAGGUUAAUUUUCUGAAAGGGAUUGCUGGCUUUUCUUCAGUGACUCUUAAUUGGUCAUAUACACCAAAUAAAAACCCCGUUUUGGAUCUUCAGCUCCACCGCUUCGCAGGUGUCUAUGGUGACUUUCUCCUCUAACUGUACCAUUUUGAGUUCAUCAACAAAUCAGUCACAGACCUCCCGCAGGAGAUUAAGGCCUUGAAGACACUUGAGCCAGUUGAGCGCGCUCAGCAACUGAGAAAGAGCAGUUGCAGACGUUUUAAAUUUUUUAAGGUAGACCGUUAAACCCCCUUAGGCCCACUGGACUCGGUUCUAGCCCCUCGUCUGUUCCUCCUAGCCCGCUCAGGCCCAAUGCUUCGCCCAGCCCACCUAGGCGAACAUUUUCUAUUCCAGUGAUUGUGCUUUUCUGGAGCAACUCUGAUCACCAAUCCAGUCACUUUCCGAUGGCCAAAGUACUAUAGUAGUUUACUGGUCAAAAAUAUCUGAGCAUUCUCCUAGUAGGCCAGAAGAAUUAAACUCUAUCCACUUAACUUCUGUCCUAUACAAUAAUAUUGGAUGUCGGUAACUAUGAAGAUAGAGUAGUUUAGAAGAAAGUAAUAUAUCCACUACUUAAUUAUGUUCGAUAGUUACCUCUGUGAAUGCGAUAGUUUUCUUUUGAAUUUCAAAUAUGUAAGCACACGGUUUCAAUUGUAAAACGUAAUCCGUAGCCCUUUCACAUUGAAUAUCAAAAUAGGUUUCUGCAAAAUUACUAUAUUAGUAGAUCGAGGAAUAUAUAUCAGCCACUAAAUGCACAAAACCUGUGUAACGAUCACUCGAUAUUAGACCUUAAGACAGCCACACCAAUCAUUCAUUUAAAAAAAAAAAAGGGUCAUUUGAUAUGAAGCAAAAAAAAGGUGAACGUAUUCCAAAUUCUCAUACAAAUAAUAGAGCAUAUAUCUGCACAAAGCACAUAUAUAUCUUCAUCGAUUCGUGUUCAAGAAGAUCGUGAUCUAUACAAAAGAACUUAACCUACCAAUAAGUAUCAAAUUCAAAGAAAGUAAGAAAAAAAGGAAGCAUCUGGUCGCUAAGUUUGUAACCAUCAAUCAAUCACAUAUAUGAAUGCCAUGCCCUUGACGUAUAUACGUUGAAAGCUUGUCCCUACUAACUCAAUCAUAAUUUGCUUUUUCUCACCUAAAACCUAAAAGGUUUAGAUCAUCAUCCUAUCUAUUUCCAUGUUCCAAAUCGAUGGUUGGUCAGUAAAAGAUGUCAUGGCUAAUUAAGGUUGGAAGAUAUAAGUACCUUAUCUGAUAUAUUAAGCUAGCUAGUCGUUCUCUUAAAUUGGUAUAGUUUCCGGGAUUGAAAACUCCAUCGAGUUAGCUGAUCAUCUGGGAAACCAGAACAGUUGCUACGGUUGAUGAUUCAGUUACAUUUGAGACCAGAAACGAUUUAAUUAGUUAUGAAACGUGUAAGAUCAUAUUAGAUUACCUGCAAAUCGAUCUAUACGUGUGUACGUCUUUAUCGUAAACCUACUCUGUGCGCCAUCGAUCAUCGAUCAUAGUUUUUCAGCAUAUACUAAAAGCUGUACUUGUCAUCAUAUUUUUUCGCCAACAGGAUUGUAAUGACAAGGACUGUAAUGAUUUUGAACAUUGAAUAUUAUCUGGGACGUAUUGUAUAAUGAGGAUUCUUCUUCCGAUCUCUUCUUGAUGGAAUGGCUCUCGAGUCUCGAUCUAUAUACCAUACAGAAUUGCAGAUUAUUAAUGCAGACGAAGACAUUAAAGAAGAUGAGAGCAACUUCCUGUAAAACCCAAGCACUAAUUAAGCUUAAUCAAGCUCUACAUGCAUGUAUAAGCAAAACCCACCAUGGAAGGAGUUGAGAGCUCUGAGCUAGCUAGGGUUCUUACAAGUUAAAUUACAAAUUUAGCUAGGAGGUGGCAUAUAUAUCUCACGUACUUAACCAAACAUCGAAAAACUUGCAACCUAGUUUUUAUUCUUGUAAAAUAUGGGAGAAGACGAUCAUCUGCAACCUAGUUUUUCUUAUUGUAAAAUAUAGGAGAAGACGAUCGACAGAUGAAUGUCCGUGUGCGUACAGAUGAUAGUUUAACUAUUUAUAUUAUUUUUAAAUCAAAAUCUCUUUUUGAAUCUUUGUUCUAAAGAUUUUUUUUCUUCAGAUAAUUCCAAUCAAGAUACGUACAUUCAUACAUCUAUUCAUUCCCACUGCCAAAAGAUGUUAAACUGUUGAUAGUGUUUUUUGUUUUCUGCUGAAACAGGUGUUAAUCGUGUUUAAGUAUAGCUGAUUAAUCAUGCAUUAUUAAUCUAAUAAAACAACCAUGCACGUACGUCAUGCAUGGCUCCUCAUCAGGACCUCAGGUUAAUUACUUCAUGUUUGGAUUGGCUGGGUGGCUCCUCAAAAACCCUAAGCCACCUGCGCCUCUUCUCCUCCUUCCACCAGUUCUCACUUGACCUUGCGACCAAAUCUCAUCGGAAUCAAAUCUACAGAUCACCCCUCCACCUUAGGCGGUGGUUGUCCGAGUCGGGUGGGGUCCUAACAACCGACCCUAAUUAAAAGAUAAGCAAAACAAAGCGGUGUACUUACGCUAAGCCCUCAACUAACCGCCGCACAGGGAGAGGGUGUUUAACGGCGCGGCGUUUAACCCGUAACGGCGAGGCAAGAGGGACCCGUCAGCUCAAUGAGCCACGUGGUGGCCCCUGGGAAAGCCAUGGUUGUGAAAUGUCGGGCUGUGAUCCAACCACGUGGACUCAUGUACUGUGCUUGGUGGACCUCGAUUUGAAGCCCAAUGGUGAAUCGUGGGCCCGCUAGUUAUUUUUUAAAGUAGGUGGGGCCGAAGGUUUCGAGAAUGUUGAGGGCGGUAAGCAACUGACAAGUGUCGAGUGGAGUGACUUGUUUGUGGUUUGGGUGACUGGUUAGUCAAUUAAUGGCAGUGAUGCAAAUUUCGUUUGUUCUCUGAACAGACGGUUUUGCCCCUUUUGAUUUUUCUUCGUCUGAUAAUUAUCGUUUUUUUUUUUGGAUGAAAUAGAAGUCAAUUGUGAGCAUUUUUUUGAAUAUUUGAUAAUACUUUUUCAAAAAUAAUAGUGAAUUGAUAAGGAAAAUUAAUGAAUCUCUUCUCAUCCUUCCUUAAAAUGAAUCACAACUAUGUUUCUCAAAAAUUAUAUUCGAUCAGAUAAUUCUUGUAACAACUUUUACAUCAUUUUAGUAUUGAUAGUAGUCACGUUACUCAUGUAUCUCGAUAAUUUGAUCCUCAACCAUUUACAUGAUUUGCUUUAGAUUGGAUAUGUUGCCCAAAUAUAGAUAGUGUGAUACGUUGCUCAAAUACCGCUUUUUGUUAUUUUUUCAUGUAUCGCGACUGAUUGUUUUGCAUGCGUUAUCAUCGAAAAAGAUUAGAUCACUAGAUAAGUUGAACUUAAAUAAAGGAGAAGAAGAUGAGGAUGGUAACACGACUACUAUGACUUUGUUGCUCUAGUCGAACUUAGAUUUCUUACUAUGUAAAGAGGUAAAUUAAAAUUUUCAGAAAGACCUUAGAUAUCUAAAUAAGAAAUUCAAAGCCACGAUAGUCGUCCUUAAUUUAUUAGCAAAGAAUAAAUAGAUAAACACGACUGGUUUUUAGUCAUUUCCGUUUACAAUGGCAUGGUCGUAAUUGCACACUUAUUACAUGAGCUGGCCUUUUCUUUCCAGACCAGCCUUGCUACCGUUUCUGGUCUCAGCUCACCAAAACACUAUAAGUAGACCAACACCCUUCACCUUACCCUCGCUCAUUUUUCCCCAACAAAUCACAUUCACAUUCUUCUUUUGCUCCUCUAGAUUCCUCUGAGGUGAUCCUCAAAAAUUCAAACCCAUUUUUCUAUUUGCUUCUACACACUUCCUUCCCACCCAACCACCUCAAUCUCCAGGUAAUUUUGAUUCUGAAUUCACUGUAAUCCUCUCAGUUUUACUAUGCCGUAAUGUGAAUUUUGAGCUAAUCGGAAGGUUUCUGUGUAGGUUUUUCAUGGCGUAUUUCCAGAACGAUGACCUCGAGUACGUCGUCAACGACUACUACGGCGACGUCGUUGAGUUUGAGGAAGACAACGACGCUUUUGCUGAUAACCAGCUCCGCGGAAGCAUCCGCGAUUCCGACGAAGACUCGGACGACGACGACUUCGAAGACCGCCUUGAUUCGGUAACCGCUUGCGUUUCUGUUUGAUUUUUUCAUGGAGAUGAUUUACUUAGAUGAUUUCGAUUCGCUGAGUGAUGUGUUGGAGUUGCAGAGCAAGGUGAAGACUGAUACGUCGGCGUUGGAAGCCAGAAAUGGGAAGGAUAUACAGGGAAUACCGUGGGAGAGGCUCAAUUUCACUAGAGAUGAGUACCGCGAGGCGCGAUUGAAGCAGUAUAAGAACUAUGAGAGCCUUGCUCAGCCUCGUCAAGACCUCGAGAAGGUAUAGCUUUUUCGAUCUUGUGAGUGAGUGGCUUUGAUUUUCGUUGCGGAUUGGUUAUUUUGUUUAUGUAGUGACUUUUUUGGAUGUUGAAUCUUGUAGGAGUGCUUGCAAGUGGAGAAGGGGAAGAGGUUCUAUGACUUUCACUACAACACAAGGCUUGUCAAGUCAACAAUCGUUCAUUUUCAGGUAGAGAUCAAGAUCUUGAUUCUCGUAACUGAUUAGAAAUGAUUUUGAAGAAAAUUAGUUUUUGUCUUUGUUGAGCGGAUAGGGUUUUGUGAUGUUCCUUUUCAAUUUUGUUCAAAAUUUCAUUCAUAUGUAGUGGUACACAAUGCAUACCUUCAUCUUCUUACUCGUAUUGCAUCGUACAAGUCCUUGCAUUCAUUUUGUUCGGAAAAUUUUGUGAUGUUCCAUAUGUAGCGCAUACCUUCACUUUGCAUUAUGUAAGUCCUAGUAUGUACUUCAUAUGAAGGGUCUUGCAUAUGUCAUAUAAUUGGUAUGUUGUCUGCAAAAACUUUGGAGUUCAGAUUUCUUUUAACUUUCUUAUUUUGCUGAUAGAUUUCAUACAGAACAAUAACCUUAUUAUAUAGCUGCUCCUUUAGUUUGUGUAUCAAUAGUUUGGUAGUUUUGCAGGUGUUAUUAAAAAAAUGUUAUAUCGUUUGUGAUGGAUAUCUUAAUUUAUGAUUAUGGUUCUGUGCGUCAAUCAUUCACCGGAAGGUAUGGAGUUCAUAAUAGUCUGUCUUUGUUGGGCACGUUUAUAGACAUUGCAUAAAUCUGAGAUGUAACCAAUUUACCUAAACUGACCAUCAUGACAUAACUUAUCCUUGAUGUGUAGAUAUCACCACUGAACUUAUUAAGAAAACCAAAGAAUUAUAUAUUCAGCAAACAAGAUGUUUGUGUCUUCUGAAAACAGAAUCACCUAAUCUACUUAUUGGAAGUAAAGUUUUUUUUUUGGUGGGAGGGCAUUUUCCUGCAGUGUAAUUUGAGGACAUUUGAAAAUUUUCAUUGCUCCUUGAUUACUAGUUUUAGAUGCAUGUCAGAGAUAUGCUUUUACGCACAGACAUAGGCCUAGGACGUUUGAACUGCAAUGGCCACAUAAUGUACUCACUGGAUCCUUUUUGGUAGAUGUGUGAAGGCUGCCCUUCAUGCCAUUUCUUGUAGUCACUGACUCACUGUUACUAUUUACUCCUGUAAUUGGCCCUUGUUUUUUGCUUUUGGGUGUUAUUAUAUUUUUUCUGCUGUCUCUUAAAUAUAAUUAUAUUGCAUGUAGGAUUACUAUUGUUCUCUUAUUUCAGCUUUUAAGCAGGGUGGAAGAGCUGCUGGCGCGACUUUGGUUAUAUGGUAUGAUAGGAGAAUAUCUGAGCAUUUAAGAGGCCUCUGUUAUUUAAGAACUGUUAUUGCGUUCUAUUUGAAAGGAUCUGUUAGCAUUAUCCUGGAUUUCUUGGUCCUGUUUUUCCAUGGGGAUCCUUUCAGGCAUCAAGGACCUUCACAUUUGCAUUUCUCUGACUUAUUAGUUUAUUUUCAUUCCAAGUGUAUGUCUUGCUUCAUUACAUACUAUUGCUAGUACUGUUAUAGAUAUUUUUUUUGUCUUCCAUCUUUCCUUUUGUUUUAUUGUAAUGGUGUCCCGUGUAAGUUUCAUAUCUUUGGGUAAAUCUUCUUUUGGAGUUGUUAACUACUGUGGUGUGGAGAGAAUCAGGUUGUGUUUUUGCAUUGAUUGCACUUCAUGGUUGAGGCACAAACCCCCCAAGUUUAUAGAUCCUCCAAUUAAAAGAUCUGCAGUCUUAUAAAAUGCAUUCCUGUUAUACAACCUCAGAAAAAUUCCUACACAUAACCUUAAUCAUCAGGAAAGCAGAGUUGAGUCUUACUUUUUCACUUCACCGUGUCCAUCCAAGUUUAACGUUCCCACUCUGGAGUAACAAUUAUUUGAUAUUUUUUUUUGGGGGUUGGGAUUCUUGUGGUCUACUGAUCUGCAGGUAUUCCAUUAAACGCUUCUUAGUUUCCGCUUCAUUCUUGUGGUGCUUGGUAAAAUGGCAGUGCUGCUCUUUCAUGUAUCAACACCGAAAAAAUGGCCCACAUAUCUAAUUACAUUAGAGCAUUAAACAUUAUCUACUCUCUACAUGCUUUUCAGUAAUGGAAUAGAAUGCGACAUGACCUUAUAACAAAUUUACUCUGCGAUAGAUAAUGCUCUAGCUUGAAUAGCCUGUAUGUUGUUGCUUUGAAAGUGCAUUAUGCUAUUAGUUCUCUUAGAUGAGAGAUGCAUACUUGCAUAGAUAUGGUCAUUGAAAUGGUUUCAUUUGCUUUCUUGAUAUUGAGUCGGUUUACCAACAAGUCCCUCAACUAGGUUUCUUUCUUGUGCAGCUAAGGAAUUUGUUAUGGGCCACAUCAAAGCAUGAUGUAUACCUGAUGCAGAACUUUUCAGUAAUGCAUUGGAACUCUUUGCUUAAGAGAGACACCGAAGUACUCAAUGUGGCUAAACCAAUUGUACCUACUGAGGUAUAAAAUGCUAGACUGUUUACUUGGGAAACCAAGGCUAAAAGUUUGUUGUGGCUUAUGUUGGUAUUUUCUUACAGAAACGACCUGGGUUGUUGGCUCGGCCGCUCUCUAGAGUGCAGAUAAGCACUAUGGCUGUCAAGGAAGAUUUGUUGGUUGCUGGCGGCUUCCAAGGUGAACUAAUCUGCAAGGUAGGCAGUUAUAUCAAAUGUUUCUUUGCGACUGCUGAGUCAGUUAUAUAUUUAUCUGACAUUUCUGUUUUUUUUAUUUGGGGCAGCACAUUAAACAACCUGGAGUUGCUUUCUGCUCAAAACUAACAACAGAUGAAAAUGCCAUCACUAAUGCAGUGGAUAUUUUCCGAAACCCAACGUAAGUUAUCCUUCAUAAAAUGGUGCAGGUUGUUUCACUCGACUUCAUUUGACUGAAUGCUCUGUACAUGUAGUGGAUCAAUGAGGGUAAUGACUGCAAACAAUGAUGCUCAAGUUAGAGUUUUUGACAUCGAAAAGUUUGCUUGCCUUAAUAGCUUCUCUUUUGAGUGGUCUGUAAAUGUGAGUCCCUGUGAAAACCCUCCUUUUGUUAUUACUUUUUUAGUAGGCUAUUUUGCUCAUAUUGGCUUCAUUAUUUAUUAUUGGCAGAACACCUCUGUUAGUCCCGAUGGUAAGCUGCUUGCAGUACUUGGUGAUAGUGCAGACUGUUUGAUUGCUGAUGCUCAGUCCGGAAAAGUAAGUCGCAUUAGUUUCUGUGUAUAUAAUUUGUUUUAUGCAGACUAUAAUUCUAAUAUAUUUCCUACUUUAUAUAGGCUGUCGGGGGCCUUAAAGGGCACUUAGACUAUUGCUUUUCCUCAGCUUGGCACCCGGAUGGACGAAUAUUGGCUACUGGGAACCAAGACACUACUUGUAGGCUAUGGGACAUAAGGAACCUCUCACAGUCCCUAGCAGUGUUGAAGGGAAGAAUGGGAGCAAUAAGAGCUAUAAAAUUUACCUCCGAUGGUCGUUUUAUGGCUAUGGCUGAACCAGCAGACUUUGUUCACAUCAUUGAUACCCAGUCUGGAUAUGCUAAGGGACAAGAGAUUGACUUGUUUGGUGAGAUUGCCGGAAUAUCCUUCAGCCCCGACUCUGAAGCUUUGUUUGUUGGGGUUGCUGAUCGCACAUAUGGUAGUGUAUUGGAGUUGAAUAAGAGGCACUAUAAUCACUAUCAAGAAAUAGUCUUCUAGUUCAGCAGUCAUCGGAAGAUGGAGGGGUGUAUAUUUAGCCAAGGUUUGUUUAUCCAACUGUAUUUAUCCGAGGAAGGGAAGUUCGUGCCUCCGGUAUUUGGGGUUUACUCGGGGUUAUUAUUCAGCCACCAAAUAUCAAAAAAAGAAAAAAUUGUUUCCAGUUUUGUUUCUUCAAGUCUUCUCAAGUCGAUGCAAGUCGCAGGUUUUGGCUUUUGUUUCUCCAUUUCUGUGAAAGGUUUUUUUUUGUUUUGUUCUAUUCAUCAAAGCAGAAAUGGAACUUGGUUUUGUAAAAAGCUCUUUCCUUUGGUUUGUAUAUUUGUAAACAGUAAAGGUUUCUAGUGCAUUUACUUUUUGCCUCAGUUCUUUACUGUCCGCGUUUCAUGUGUUGUAUGCUUAGACUAAAUGGACUGGCGUACGAUUCGUUUGAAGUUCUAUAUGCCUCUUCAUUUGGAUGAGACCUUUUCCAUUUCAUAAGAAUUCAAUGGAAAAUGUGUUUCUUAGUGUUUUAUGUAUUACGCUCUUGUUCACUUCUACGGUCAUAUGAAAAAGACCCCAAGAAGUGCAUCAAAUACUUAUCUGGCUUGUUCUGAGGGACUGCUUAUAUUAUCCUCAUUUUUAUCUUACUUGUGUAGAUGAAAGUUCAAGGUAGUUGGGAUUUGGGGUGGUUAGUUAAACAGAAACUUCUUAAGAGGUAUUAGUUUAUGUGUAGUUGCCAAAGCUUAAUCUUCUUUUGCGGUAGUCUUGGUCAGUAACCUUAUUCGAACGUAGUCAUCACUCAUGACUGGGAACUCCAGCAUGUUCUAUUGUUUUUCAAAGGAGAAGAAGGCCACACCUAUAAUUAUGUCACUUAUGUUUCGUGUUUGUGUGCCUCUAGUCACUGGUUUGCUACAAUUUUAAUUUUUUUUUUUACCACCGACAAGAAGAAGAUUUGGUUAUGGGUUUAAUCGACAAGAAGCUAGAGAAGCCUAGAAGCUUUGGUCGUUGAAGUUUUCUUGUUUACUCCAGUAGAAAACAGGAAAGGUAAUCCACACAUGGAGGAUGGAGGAUUUAUGGGUAUUGUUUGGGCCAGGAAAUCCACACUUUCUUACGGAUUAUUACCUGCUGCAAGGGAAAGCCAUUCCCCUUGUUACAGUAGUCGAAACUUGGAAGUCAUCGUCGUAAGUUCAUAACCAUACUCCUGCAGUAAUCAUCAUAACCAUGGUUAAUCUCCCACGAAGGCAAUAAGCUUCCCAAGUAAUGUUACUUCUUCUAUGCACCGGUAUAAUUAAACUGAGCAACUAUUUUGAUCCAUCCGUUCACGUGUCACUAUUAUGCAUAUAUACUAACUCCAUGAACAAAAUUGAAACCAAGAAAAAUAAUCCAAGUUUUUCAAACACGAAGUGAGGUCUUAAGGUUGAAAAAGAUGUUUUCUUAUUAUAGACAUUUAAUUUGAUCGGAUCAAAAAUAAAAAUGAGAUGAUAGAAUUGAGGGUCUAUAGGCUCGUUCCAUCUUCGUAGAAAGCAAUAGACGACUUAUACAUCGAUGAUGCAAAUGUACCUUAGUGUGUAAUCCGCUCCCACUAUAGUUUAUACCAUUCUUCUAUAGUAGCACAGUUACAUUAACCCCCAGUUACUACCAAGUCAUCAACUAAAACGGAUCCUGGGUACAAAGAUCUCAUACAACAAAUUAGCAAUCCGAUCUGGCGAUCUCUUAGUCCACCACGAGAAGUUAUGCGGAUCUAAUUUGAAGAAAUAAAUUAAUAUAGAAUUUUUUUUUUCAUUUCCCGUAUUUGCUUUACAUGGAAAUAAGAUAUCUUCUUGUUUUGAAAGUCGAAGGUUCUGGUUCCUUGACAUGCGCAUGACCAUAGUCUGAACUCAUCACGUUCAAACCCGCGUGGGGUGCAUAACCAACUAUGGUGGUCUACAACAAAAAGAAACAAAAUCUAAACAAUGUAAAGGGAAAUAUAAAGGAUCAAAAUAGAAGACUUUAUGGGAAUUCCAUUUGCUCACUUUUAAGCAACAUUCCAACCAAUGCUGCUAAAGUUUCCAUUGUUUAUCAUCAGCUUUGGAUAAUUGGUUUUAGCAGCUGCAAAAGUCUUCAGGAUCACCCCCUCACCACUCAGCUAAACAGUGUUUCCAAUUCUCAGAUUUUUCUAGUUCACUAGUUGUGUUUUCAAUUUAUAUAUUUCCUUUCAAACUUAUCGGAAACUUGGCACACUGUACUGGUACCCCGGUCUCAGGUAAUUGAAUUCACACUGCAAAAGCUUGUAAGCAAUAUUCCAGAAAGAGAAAGAAGCUUGAAGAAACAAGGACUGUGUUCACCAAAAACAAAGAGUUGGGGGGGUCAUCAAUAGUGUCGUGAAUGAGUGAAACUUGAUCGACCUGCACACUAGCUCACCCACCAAAUCCACUGAAAUAUCGUUGGCUAUAAUGACAUGAAAUCUGCCUUUGAAAGUGACAACAACUAUUGCUUCCUUUGCUUCCAAGACUUGAAUUCCAAAAUGGUUGUUCGCCAUGGCCCCUGAAUCUUAUUCUGCAUAUUGAACUUAUGAAUCAUUAGUAUGCGUGGCUUGCCUUCCCCAUUACUUUCCAUAUAGUGUUGAGGACGGUUAUGUGUGAUGCAAUCUCACAUCGCUUUUGUAACAAAUUCUAUUUCCUAUGCAAAUCUUGAGAGAAAGCGAAACCCUAAUAUCAGCAAUUCCAAAUCGACUUGUUAAGCUUCGAGAAUAUAAGUUGUUGCAUUCGUUCACUGCUUACAAGUUCUUCCAAAACAAGCACCCAACAAUGGUGUUGCAUGUUGAUCAAGAGUUCAAAACCGGCCAACCUUCACAAAACCAUCCUUAUUUCAAUUUGACCACCCGAGUGAUUCCAAGAAAAGGAGAGGCAGGAAGCUGAACUUGUCUGCUCCAUUAUGAAUAUGGUUCACUCAAUAAGGUGGCCAAUUUCUAACCUUAAAUCAGUCUCAAGUCUAGUCAAGAGAUCUGGACCUCUUCAUUAAUGCAGGUGUUUAAAGUGUUUUUCGUUUUGGUUCAUCUCAAAUUAGUCAGAGCUUUAAAAACUACUUAAAUAAUUGCGCCGGCCUCUCAAAAUUAUAAAUGAGUACAUAUAAUCACAGUUUAGAUGUAUAAAAAGAUUAUGUUUAAGAAAAAUGUUACAGAAAUUAUCAAUAUUGGUGAAAUAUCAGCAAAAAAUUAUACUAAGUACCGGAGGUCAUGAGUUAGGAUCUCACUGUUAUAGAUUUAUAGAUAUGAUAACAAAAGAAAUUGAAACUUGUUUAAAAUCAUUAAUGUACGUCUUCACUAAAUAAAUUAUUUUAUUUUAUUUAAAUGUGAUAUGACGUUCUCUAACUACUCAUUUCGAAUAUAAUUUAAAACAGCUCAAUAUAAGUCAUAGAUGAGAAAUAGUCCCGUCUGAAACCGUGUGUAGCUCAGUAUUUGUCUUGUUCUAAAAUCCCAGUUUUAGAGUGACAAAUAACUCCAAACAGAGCACUAACAAAAUAUUAGUUUCAAAACCCACCUAACAUAGCUAAAGUUGUGAUAACUGAUAACCAUGUUUUCGUUUGUGGGCAAGAGUGACACGAUUGGUUAAUUUCCCUAGCACUUGUCCACUAAUGAAUGUCUUUUCUCUUUUCUAUCUUGGGUAAUGAAAUUAUACAUCAAACAUUAUCAUCUCAAUCAUAUGAUAAAUGGUUGCCCAAUAAGGAAUUACGUCGAAAUUGGUGGGACUAAAAAUAUUGUCAAGAAAUGGGAAGAUCGUUUUCUCACAACUCUUAAACAAGGAUUAUCCCAUAAGAAUUACGUUACGUAGCUAGACUGCUAGAGGCACCCACUCUCACAUUUUUAUUGGUUAUAUAGUAAUCAAAACCCAUCUUGUGAGAUCAAAAUGAUAAGCUAUUCUUCUCUUGUAUAAAUCUACUUUUCUAUCUCAUAAUUAGGUAUAUAUCGUCUUGUUUAGUAAUGUCACUAUGCGAGAUGAGGCAGUGACUCAAUAUAUGCAUCUGCAUAAUAUAUAAGUAUAUAUGAGAGAUCUACUCCUUCACGAAUGUGAUAAUUUUUGACAGUCAAAAAUUACUCGAUUAUGCCUUGGAAUGUAACUUAGGUAGCGAUUAAGUGUGAAAACCAUGCAAGCAUACCGUUCAAAUGCGAAAAGUUAUCUAGUUAUUCUCCUCUUGCUUCUGAAAUACAAGUCUUUGCAAAUCCCAUGCGCUCUCCCACCACAAGAAGUAAACGAAACAGAAGCAAACAAAAACUAUUUAUAUUAUGAGUUUAUGUUUUUUUUCUUUUUUUUUUGUUAACUCAAAAGAUUGAACACACUACAAAGAAGCUCCUAAUUUAUAUCCCAAUACUAAGGAGAAUCGGAAACAUGACCAAUAGUAGCAAGAGCAUUGGCAGCGAGACUAGUUUCACCGAAAACAAGUGUGAAAGAGAUAAUGGUAAAGUGCGUGUCAAUAUUCCUGAUAUCUUGGGUUAUGGUAAAGAGCUUCCAAGGGGUGGUGCAUUUCCCGAUGACGAAAUUGAAAAUGAAUUGAGAACAACCCUCCACAUAAAGUAUUGAAUAUUUAUCGUUCUAGCUUUAACAAAACUGUCUUUAAGAGUAAUAACUUCUGAAAACAUAAAAGUUAUGGAAAAUUUUAUAAUGAGGUAAUGCAUGUCAUGCAUCAAUUAUGUCAUAAAGAGGUAACACGAGUCUUUAAAGUAGUAAUAUUAGUCUUCAAAGUUGUAAUAUGAGUCCUUAAAGUUGUAAAAAAACUUAAUUACAACAUUAAUCAUCAUGUGUCAUUAAAUUAGUAAAAUGUGUGCUUAAAGUGAUAAUAAAAAAUGACAUCUCACUACCCUAAACAAUUGCAUAAAACCGAAAAACCACAUUUGAACAGAGUUAAACAAAUAAAUACAUAAGCGCAGACCCGCAGUACAUAGUAUCACGCCAUGUUAGCAAUUUUUUAUGUAAAAUACAUAAAAACCAAUAUUUUCUGAAAUAUCUACAAAAUUGUCACUGCCUUAACCAAAAAUAUAUUCUUUCUCUUUCUUCUAUCUGUCAUAUUUCGGAUCUGAUUCUCUCUCUCUCUCUCUCUCUCUCUCUCUCUCUCCAAUUGCAAAAAGAAGCGUUGGUGCCGUCACCUCAACGCUCAACGAUGACCAGCACCGCUGCACUCGAAGACGGUCGACGCUUGAAGCCUAAUCGACUCGCUAGUUGGAAUAGCCACCGGUUUGGGAUGAUGCUCAACCGACCCGACCCGAUUCUCUGGCUCCCGGUUUAGGUUGCUACUGCCUUUAACCGCAAGCGAUUGACUGGGCGUGACGUCGCUUUGAGCUCGUCGGAGUUGCUCGGCGGCCUUCUGGUUCUGGUGAACCCUGUGCGCUCUGGCGGGAUUGUAAAAUUGAUCUUUGCUGUGAGCACGUGUCACUUGCAAUCUCGUCCCCAACAUAUCUCAAACUACAGCUACGCCAAAAACUGUAAAUCCGGUUGGUUUAUCGGAGCUUUUAAAUCCUUAAGAAAAGUCAACAAAAUUGGAACCGGUAAGCAGUUACUCGAUUGUCACAACGUAUGUUGUGAAAUCGGUGCAAAUUGGAAACGAAUCAGAUCGUAAAAAACAGAAAUGGCAAAACCCUAGAAUGGAGGCUGGGACUGAAAUGGAUAUGGUAAAGGUAGGUUGUCAGGGGUAAAUUGGUAAUAUCAGUUCAGGUAGAGAAAACAGAGAAAGGAAAAAUGGAGGAAGCAAGGCGUAUAACUAUAGAAUUGGAUGAGACUCAAUUAAUCUUCAUGUAGUAGCAAAAACUUGAAAAACAUGAGUGCAGUAACAUAACUACAACAAGAAUACAACGAGUAUAGUAGAAAAAAAAAAUGAAAGAGUGAUGUAGUAGAACCGAACAGUAGCAUAAUUCAUAAAUGAAUUUUUAUGUCAAUACUGCAUUUACUGAACCUGCUACUACACUAACCGAACCAAUAAAAACCUACUACUACCGCACGUACUGAAAAUAGGAGCUGCUGCUGCUACUACAUUUGUUAAGCCACUAAAAACCUGCUACUACACUUACUGAAGCUGCUACUACACUAGCUGAACUAUUAAAACCAUGCUACUACAUUUGUUGGAAGUGUAGUAGCAGCUAACUCUCCAGUAAAACAUGCUACUACAUUAAUUGAGCCACUGUAAACAAGCUACUGUAGUUACUACACUAACUGAACCACUAAAAAUCUGCAUUAAUUGAGCCACUGUUACUACAUUAAUUGAGCCACUGUAAACAAACUAUUGUAGUUACUAAAGCUGUUACUACACUAACUGAACCACUAAAAAUCUGCUACUGCAUUUAUUGCAAGUGUAGUAGCAGCAGCAGCAACAACAUUCCAGCAAGUGCAAUAACACUGAAAAUAAUAGCAGCAGCUGCUGCUACUACUACAUUUGCUGAGCCAUUAAAAACCUGCUACUACACUUAUUGAAGCUGCUACUACACUAGCUGAACCAUUAAAACCCUUCUACUACAUUUGUUGGAAGUGUAGUAGCAGCAGCUAACUCUCCAGUAAAAUGCUACUACAUUAGUUAAGCCACUAAAAUCUGUUAUUGUAGUUAUUGAAGCUGCUACUCAUGGCCGCCCUUGUCGAGGCCCUAGAUGUAAAAAUUAGAAAAUAAUUAUCAUGAAAAUUUUCAUUAAUAUUGAUUGCAAUUAAUUAAAAUUCAAGAAAUAAACAUUCAUAAUGAAAAGAGUUAAUUAUUUUCAUGUUAACAAGUCAAUUAAAUAUCAAACUGAACUCGCACAAAUGGAAAGAAGCAUAUGCUAUUAGAAAUAAAAUCUGAAAAUUGGACUAUAUUUAUAGUAAAAUAGUAAAAAACAGUAAAAAAUUCAUUUGAAUACAAGUUAUGUAUGAAAGUUUUUAAAUAUGGAGUUCCUUAUAAUUGUGGAGGCCAUAGACACAAGCCUUGUUGGUCUUGCCUCAGGGCCGGCAGUGCUGCUACUAUACUAACUGAACAACUAAAAAUCUGCUACUGCAUUUAUUGAAAGUGUAGUAGCAACAACAUUCCAGCAAAUGCAAUAACAGCUAAUAAAACAAUACAUGGUGGGGUCUGAUUGAAUUUGAUUUAUUUUGUAUAAGGUCAAUUUAGUAAAUUAAAUUAUGACACAUGGCAAGCAGAAAAUAAUUUGUCCUUAUUUGUUAAAAACUGUCAUUAUUUGUUUAACAACAACACAAGUGGAUUUAUUUGUGUUUCAAAUCCUUUUAAAAGAUGUAUAUGUGAUUUUUUGAGUCUUCAAAAUGAUAAAAGAAAAGUUGUUACAACUUUGAGGACUUAAUUACUACUUUAACGACACAUGAGGACUAAUGUUUUAACUAAAAUUUUACAACUUCAAGGACUCAUAUUACAACUUUAAAGACUAAUAUUACUACUUUUAGGACUCAUUUUACAACUUUAUGACAUAAUUAAUGCAUGACCUGCAUUAACAUAUCUUAGCCUUACCCAAAAAUUACUAGCAUCUCAUUACCCUUAAAUAUCAUUACAUGGUAGAAUAAAAUACACGGAGAUAACAACUCCGUUGUAAUAAUAAUAAUAAAAAAAAAACUCAUAUACAUCCCCUAUUCAUGAAUAGAAUACAUAUAGUGGGGAAUGUCAUGAAAACGAGAACUGAAAACCCUAAUCAACUGUUAAAUCCAGGUUAACUGGUUGUCUCUUGUCAGUUGGAUUCAAAUUCAAAUAAUCGUUAAUCUACAAGCCGCUCUACACUAAUUUCCUAAUCGGCAUCAGUUGAAACAUUAAUUUUGGAAAUAAAAAAAAAGGAAAGAAAAAAAAAAGUGAAAUUGCAGAAAGCCGCGUGAUAUCACGUGAGGUGCAUGAGGGGGUCAGGUGGGUGGGAAUACAAGAAGACCGUAGACCACUCUGGGGGGUGUAUUAAUUGAGUGGAAACAAUUGGCGGCAGUGGACAUAAACCGCGUGCCUAACGCGCACGUAGGCCCCGCCGGCUCCAUAUUAAUACUUUGCUUCAACUUUACGCUUCCUCUUUUUGCACCCUGCUCCACUCGCCCUCCUCACGCGUGCCAUGCAGAGCCCGCCCAAUCUCCUCCUCUUGUCUUUGUCUUCUAGUAAUCUUGUUUAAUGAUGUGAAAAUAUUUUCAGUAUUGCAUAUUGAUAAUAAAAGUUUUGUAAUAAUUUAAACUAUUAUUUCAAGUAAAUUCAUCGUACUAUAAUGAUAUGUGAUCAUGUACUUCUAGAACGAUAUGUGAUCAAGUAAAUUACAUAUUAGUUACUAAUUAAAUUUCAGUAUACAAAUACAUCAUUUACACAUUAUAUUACAUAUUCAAGGACAAAAAAUAACAAAUUAAGACAAAUUAAUGUCCACAUACCAUCUAUCACGAUGUAUUUACCAGAAUACCAUUCACUACUUAUUCACCAAAUUGCAAAUGUUUGUACUACAUAUUCAGAAAGGUGCUACUUGCUACAAAGCUGCUAUUGUCCGAUUGUGAGUUCAACAACUCUGCUACUGCUCGACAGGGAGUUCACAACGCUGCUACUGCCCGACUAGGAGUUCACAACACUGUUACUGCCCGACUAGGAGUUCACAACGCUGCUACUGCCCGACUGUGAGUUCAACAAUCCUGCUACUGCCCGACUGGGAGUUCACAACGCCGCUACUGCCCGAUUGUGAGUUCAACAAUCCUGCUACUGCCCGACUGAGAGUUCACAAUGUUGCUACUGCCCGACUGUGAGUUCACCAACGCUGCUACUGCCCAACUAGGAGUUCACCAACGCUGCUACUACCCAACUGGGAGUUCACAAUGCUGCUACUGCCCGAUUAUGAGUUCAACAAUCCUGCUUCUACCCGACUAGGAGUUCACAAUGCUGCUACUGCCCGAUUGUGAGUUCACCAACGCUGCUACUGCCCAGCUGAAAGUUUACCAACGCUGCUACUGCCCAACUAGGAGUUCACAAUGCUGCUACUGCCCAACUAGGAGUUCACAAUGCUGCUACUGCCCGACUGGGAGGCUUAACGGUCGAUUAACGGCGAAGCUUUGCUGGUGGUAUUGCCUCCAACACGGAGGAGCUUAGGAUGCUUAUAGAUCUCGCUGGCUGGCAGAGUCAAGCUCGGCUUCGUCGGAAUCUUACAAGGCAGCGCCAAAGUGGUUUAUCGUCAUCGUUGUCGAGGUUGUCAUCGACGGCUUUGGCGAACGAGGAGCAACCAAAUCAUGACAGAGAGACGGCAGAUCUGAGGCGUCAACGCGGUACAGCCAUUAGAGCACCUCCGAUCUCUCCGCCAAGAAGGCCGCCGCUCAAGAAGUGCAGACAGCGAUUCCAAACCAAGAUGUUGGUCGCACAAAGCCUCUAGGUCUUCACCGGUGAGCUCGUGUGGCCUGCAACGACGACGAUUUGGCCAUAAUGGUGAAUCAGAUAGAUCGAAGACGGAGAAUGUGAAUUUGAGAGAGAGAGAGAGAGAGAGAGAGAGAGAGAGAGAGAGAGAGAGAGAGAGAGAGAGAGAGAGAGAGAGAGAGAGAGAGAGAGAGAGAGGGAUGAGGGAUGAGGGAUCAGAUCGAAGAGGGUUAGGAAGAGAGAAAGAGUGGCAUACGCGUAAUUUGAUCCUGAAAGCUGGAUAUUUUGGUCAUUUAAUGGUCAAAACUCGGGUUAGAUCUGAUACUGUAGGUUUUGGGCCUCAGCUUGUGUCCUAAUUUGUCUAAAAAAUAUUGAAAGUGGGUUUUUUGUGUUUUUAAAUUGGUCAUGUGUUACUAUGUAAUUUUCUCAUGAAUUAUCUCCUAUAUAGUGUUAGAAAUGUCCCUCCCAACGUUAACAAAAUUUGUGAUAAUGUUCCUUAACGUUUUAGAUCGACCUCACAUUCCAUAGACGGCCUCAAUCCCUCAAAUUAUAGAAGAUAUGUCAUAAAUGUUGAGAUAUCGAUCUCAUAUUAGAAAUAUGAGACCUUACAUGUGGGUUAAAUAUAAACCCAUAAUAAGAGUUUGGGUCAUUUCAUCCAUUAUCAAUUAAUUUUGAAUGUAAAACUCAUACUACUUUAUCAAUACAUUUGCACAUGUGCGAUGCACGUGCUAUUGGUGAACAGAAAAUCAAGAAAACGGUGCAAGUUUUUUUGUGACCACCUUCUUUAAUUUUAUUUUUGUACCUUUCUUAAUUAUGUGAUCAUUUUCAAUCUUUUAAUAUGAAGGGGUUUUAGAAAAUCCAUAAUUUAGUGAAACUUUUGCCUUGAAUUUAUGGUAGCAAUAGAGGUGACGAAUAUCCGCAAAUUGUUUAGUUUUAAUUUUUCUAGCAUACAAAAUAGAAGCUAGAACUCGAUCUCCUUCUCUAUCAUUCAAAAUUAAUCUGGUUGCUUUCACCCUUGAUUGAUUUCAGAGUAGACAAGAAUAAAUGAUGUGAUUACUUCCGUCCAAAAAAAUGAGAUUUAAAUUGCAGGACUCGAUCUCCUAUUCUCUUUCAUUCAAGAAAAUUCUGGUUGCUUUGGUUAUGUUCUUCCUCCAAAUUAUAAAAGCGGCAAGGAACAAGUUGGAUCAUCUCAUCAUGAAGCAAGAUUUUUUUUGGAGGAAUGUGGUAAUAAAGUCAAAAAAGUAGUUAUCACGUAUGCAUGAUUAAGAUCAGAAUGAGUUGUAGAGGACUAACUAUCAGCAACUUUAGAAAACUAAUCUGAAUACUAAGAAUUUUCGUUUGUUAGUAUCCUAAUGCAUGUUAUAGAGAUUUUGAGUAUUUCGUAAGGGAAAAAACAAAAACUAUGUGUAAAUUCGAAACCUGAUUGUGAGAAAUAAACGAUUGAAAAUAUUAACGUUGGGCUAAUCUUAAGCUUCAUAUAUCAAAACGUUAUAUAAAAAUCUAGUCCUAACUCGUUAUCUUGGGACAUAUAAACUAAUUUUUGAUGAAAUAUAUAUAUCUUAAAUGAACGUGUCAUUGUAACUUACACUUUUAAUUCAUCAAUGAUAAGUGGGAACCAAUAAAUAACGUGGUCACUACACCAAUUAUCGAUUCAUAUAAGCAAUGAAGCAAAUUCAGUCUAUUUGAAAUUAUGUAAGAGCAACUCCAAUAGCUUCUCAAUAUUUUUGGUUUUCUUAAUUUUGGAGAAGAUUUUGGUUGUUUUACCCCAACAGAUUCCUUAAACUUUUCUCCAAAAUAGAGAAUGUGAUGAGAGGCAAAAUUAAAUUCUUUAUAUUUGCAGCAAACUCUCAAAUUUUAGGGAAAGAUUCGGGAAAAAUUCAUAAAAUUUCCAAAAUAGAGAAUAUAUUGGAGUUAGAGAAGAAAAAUUACUUGAAACAUUAACUUUUGCUUCUCCAUUAUAGAGAAAUUAUAAAGAAGCUGUUAGAGAUGCUCUAAGAGUAUACAUCAUAUGAAAUAAUCUUAUAUAUAAUCAUGUCAGAUAUGAGCUUGGUUGGGUUGCCUUAUGAGAUACAAUGUGUGCAAUCUUAUACAUUAAUCAAAACAUAAAGUCAGAAUUAACUUGUAAUGACACAUGAACGUAAUUGAUCAAGAAUCAUUCAAAAGAGUUGAAAAUCCAAAAAUAAUUGGAGAAGAAAACACAAAAAUAAACCAAGUGGGAAAGAAAUGCAACGGUUACGUUAGAAUUCGGCCGAUAGGGAGAGGCUUGAACACAAAGGCACGACGACUCAGAAAAUAAAUAAUUGCACGAGGAAAUAGUAUCGGACUUCGGGUUCCGCCCGACAUGGCCCAAGAUUCAUUCCCGAUUCGGUCAACUAAUUUAGCCAACGCCUUCGUGCUUCAGUUACUCCCCAAUAUUUAAUGCAUUCAUCAACGCUCGCUAUUCAGCACAUACAGAUAAAGAGCGCGUGCAUUGCACUUUCCACUACAAGAGACAAAGAGGAGGGAUCAUGAUUGACGGGUGGGUUUCUUUUCGGUGGUGCGCGUGGGUCAAUGUUUUAGAGAAAAGACUCUGGCGCCGCAAUUGAAGAGCUUGUCCACUGGCGUGUGCACGUGGUUUGUUGGCUCCUGCAGUCCUGCUGUAUUUAUACGGCGUAUCCUCCGCCGAAACAAACCCGCAGUCGACAAAAAAAAAAACCAUGGUUAGGUUAAUACAAUAAUAUAGAAUGUUCUAACUUAUAAGCCUCAAUGUUCUAACUUAUAAGCCUCACAUUUUUAUUUUAUCAAAUACAUAAUUAAUAUGCUACAUUACUGUGAGUUGAAUUCGCCGAGUUUUGUUUGAUACACUGAUUAUAAGGAUCAUAUGGAUGAGAUGAUCGAGCUAUUGCUAUUGCUAUUUUUUUCAGUUGUAAAACUUUGUAAAGCGAGUUAACACUCAUGUUUACCUAGUCAGCUACUCUGCAAGAACAUCAUGCUCAACUAUAUCUUGAUACAAAUUCAAUGCAGGGAAAAGUCUAUUGUCUUCAACGAUGUAUACCUUUAAAGGUGAAUCAAAUGAAUAUAGUAUCUUAAAUCAAUUAUUGAUCAAACGAACACUAUUGAACGAAUUGAAGUAGCCGUACAACGUCAACUAAUAUAUUAGAAAAGAUUAAUUCAUUAAACUAGUAUGUAUUUUCAUUUAUGUAGCUAAUAAGUUAUUUUAGCAAUUCUAACGAUAACAUUCGGGUCGAAACGAUUAGGAACCAGUAGACUUCAAAUCAAAGAAAAUCAAACGUACACAUAUAGAAGAAAAAAACAAAUCACAAGUUUGGGCACGAGUUUGAUACUUCGAUAGAGAGUUGUGCUGUUGGCUUUUGGAGAAAAAAACCCAAUGAGGAGUGAAAAGCAUGAGUAUUUCCACGUCGCAAGUUCCCCAUUGCCAUAAACUAGUAGUCCUCCUAAAAGGAUCACGAAACAGACAGGGAGAGUCAACCUCAGCCAUUUGAUCCUUGCCGUUCUGACGUCAAAAACUCUCCUUUUACCUCAUCGACGGCUGGCAUUCCCUCCCUUUAAGUCCUUGUCACUCCAACUAUGCAAAAUAGAAAUUGAAACCUUGCCUUUUGGUACGCGUAUACGACUUUCAUUGAAAACGAUUUCUAAUUAAUUAAUUAAUUUUGCAAAAAAGGCUUAGAGAUGAGGAUGAGCAUGACGAUGAUUAAUUACUUAAUUAGUGACUGGAUUAAGAUUAGGCCCAAUUGGAGAUUUUCAUAAAUUAUUUUGGUGGUUUAUCCUAAUCGGUCAAAAAUAGAAACUUGGUGUCCUUGACACGAAUUAUACAUAAGCCUGCACUAGUUUGUCAACUAGGAAAUGGGGGGAGUUGGUAAGUGGAUCACUAGCCGUCGGUUUAGUUGGUUGCGACGGUGAGCUAAAGGUGAUCCGGCGGAUAAGAUUAAAUAAAAUGUGUGUUUGUCAAACAUAGUGGAUCAUGCGCGCAUAGGUGACUAGAGAUAGGAUCAUGAUUGUGUGCUCGUUAGUGCAUUGUUUUAUUAUUGCGCUAAACAUUGAUCUGGGUAGGACGUAUUUAGUUUGAGAAAAACAAAUACUAGGUCUAGAUAGCAAAAAAAAAAGGAGAUACGAUUAUACAUUCCUGUUUCAAUAAGAAUUAGUCAUAAGAUAGACACAUAAAUAAGGGUCGUAAGUCGUAACACUAUACAUCGGCAAAUAUAAAAAAACAAUCACAAAUAAUUUCACAUGCUACUACAUUAGCCGUAAAGCGAUAGAGUUAUAAUUCAAGCCCUCAAGGACUCAAGGUAUAUGGCUUAUUUGUAAGAGUUCUUUUUUUUNNNNNNNNNNNNNNNNNNNNAAAAAAAAAGUCGGUUCAUCAAUUCAGUAUUAUGAGGCAUCAAAACCUUCAACUUUUUCUACUAUGCUCAACUCAAUAUCAUGAAUGAGUUAUGAGAGCUACAUAAAUCAUGUGUAUUCAUCAGUUUUAGAGCCUAACGCAUGAAUAACGCAUCGGCUAAUGGGAAUUUUUGUAUACAUUUUGAAAAAACGGUUCAAGUAGUAGUUCCUUGAUCACAAAAAGAUUUGGUCGGUUUGUCGCUCUAACAUUAUGUAACGAUUUAAGGGUUCAACCAUCUCCACUACCUUAACCUCCAUUGAAUGAAUACUAUGAACUAAGUCUGCCGGCUGUUCACUUUUACUAGGCUUAUGUCAGUAUGUCUUUUAAACCAAACAACAGUUAAAACAAGACUUAAACGUUAUCUCAUAAAUAAGUUACACCGACUAUCUAAAAUAAACGUAUCGAUUGGUUUUAAGAGCUUCACACAUAACUCGUUAAGUAGCGAUACACUUUGAAGUUAUUGCCUUCAAUAAAAAAUAUAUAUUUUGUUUUGUACUAAUUUCUCCAUAUACCUCCAACACCCCAAAUACAAAACAUUCAAAAUAAAAUAGAGAAUAUUGUAAAAUGGAUAGGACUAUGCUCAAUACAAAAGUUCUGUAGUGUUGUGUUAACUUUUAAAAUAUAUCUUCUCAAUUUGUUGAUUUUUAUUUAUCAAUAAAUUAAGCUUAAAUAGUGAGCACUAGAUGAACCUAACCAGAUCGAGAAGGUGUGAAAGCCAUAAAAUAUAGUCAACAAACUAACAAAUUGAAGCUGCGACCAACUCAAACUCCACCGACAGGUGCCCGUCACCGUAUGGACAGGUGCCCGUCACCGAACCGAGUAGUACUACGUGGCAUGCCCUCAUUGGCUACAAUGAAUUGAAUGAGCAAGCCAGACGUCACGACCAGAACCGGGACACCGGAGAGCGACGCAAUAAUGAAAAUAAAAAAACACAAGGGGGGCUUAGAGUGAGAUAAUCAUGACUAGCAUUGUAAUUAACGGAGGAGAUUAAGGCGCUCCGGGCCUUUAUAUAAACCAAGAGGCAGAGCUUUGCCAGUCAGAGAGAAACAAAGUGAGGCCGAGAGUACACAAAAAAAAAAAAAAAAAAAUCAAACAGGAGUGAAAAUCAGUGAGAGAGUUUCAGAUUUGUGUUGUUGGUUGUUGCUUUCUGUGUUUGAAAAAAUCCCCCCCUUCUGUAAUUUGAAUCCCUUUCUGUUAAUCAUCUGUGUUUUCUCAAAAGAUUAAUGGUUUCUUGGGUUUGUCUUUUCAAAGCUUAGAAAAUAUUGAUUUCAAAGAAGCUCAGGUGUUUGCAGAAUUGAGAUCCAUCUUUGUAUUUAGUUAUUUUUUUUUCUAGUUUAAAUUUUUCAUUUUCGAGGGUUGUUUUUGAUCCCUCUCCCCCAGGAGUAUCAAGAGGUUGAUUAUUUGAAAUCUCUUUCGAUCUCCCUAAUUGGUGACCUGUUGUUCUUUAAUUUUAUCGAAGAACCGGGUUUGAUUUUUUAUUUUUAAAUUUGAACCAAGUUAUUUAUUGUUAGUAUCAUCUUUGAAGAAUUUGAUUUUGAAGGAAUGGCAGCUAUGGAUUUCUACAGUAGCAUACCUCUUCAGUCAUCUUCCGAUCCUUUCACCGGUGAGCUCAUGGAAGCACUUGAACCUUUUAUGAAAAGUGCAUCUCCACCGCCACCUCUAUCUUCUUCUUCUUUUGAUUUCAACCCUUCUAUCCCAACCCCAUCUUCUUCUUAUUCUUCUUCUCCCACCCCUUUUCUUCCUUCUACUUCUUCUCCUUCUUCUUCCUACGACUACCUCUCUUUCUCUCCUUCCAUCCCUACUCCUCAGCCCGGUUUGUUCCAAGACGGUUGCUCAACCUUUAACAUGGGUUUCGAGCAGCAAGGUUCGAUCGGGCUGAACCACCUUACUUCUUCCCAGAUCCACCAGAUCCAGACUCAGUUCCAGUUCCAGAAUCAACCCCAGAUGGCGUGGCAACAGAGUUAUCAACAGCCGCAACCGUCUCAUACUCUCAGCUUUCUCAGUCCCAAACCUGUUCCGAUGAAGCAGUCUGGUUCCCCGCCCAAGCCCACCAAGCUUUACCGGGGAGUGAGGCAGAGGCACUGGGGGAAAUGGGUGGCCGAGAUCCGCCUACCCAAGAACCGUACCCGCCUCUGGCUUGGAACUUUCGACACAGCUGAAGAAGCAGCCUUGGCUUACGACAAAGCAGCUUACAAGCUCCGUGGUGACUUUGCCCGCCUCAAUUUUCCACAUUUGAAGCACACUGGGUCCGUCGUUGGUGGAGAGUUCGGCGAGUACAAGCCUCUGCAUUCCUCUGUUGACGCGAAGCUUCAGGCCAUUUGCGAAGGCUUGGCUGAGUCGCAGAAACAGGGGAAGGCAGGGAAGCAGGCGGGUGGGGCCAAGAAAUCUUCGGCCGCCCGCACGAAGCCGAAAUCAACACCAGUGCCGGAACCGGAACCAGAACCGGAGGCUUUGACCGUGAAGGAGGAGACCUCCUCCUUGUCGCCGGUGAGGACGGAUAGUGAUGGGUCUGCAGGGUCUUCUCCUCUAUCGGAUCUGACCUUUGCCGACUACUCAGAGUCCUCAUCGCCUUGGGAGAACAACGGAUCAGAGAGUUACCUGUUGGAGAAGUAUCCAUCAGAGAUUGAUUGGGCUUCGAUCUUCAAUCAAAAUUCGAAUUAGUCCAUUUCGGUUUUAUGUAAUUGUAAUUGGGUAUGCUUUAGUUCGUUUGUUCAAACAAGAGUCAGAGUCUUAAGUUCAGCAAGUAAUUAGGGGGCUACUGCAAUCAAGUUUUUGGCAGUUGCAGGGCCUAAUUUAGGGUUUAGUGGAUCAUUUCGGGUAGUAGUGGUUUAUGUUAAUAUUAUGAUGUAAAUCAACUUCAUCAUGGUCAGCUGGUUUUUUUCUUGCCAGACCAUGAGUGAUUGUGUACUUCCUUUUUAUGUAAUCAUCUUAUUCUAUUCUAGUAUGCACUCUUUAGUUGUUCAUAUAUUAAAUCCUAUUGUCAUUUUAUCGAGUAGUGUUGAUGCAUUCUUUUAUAUUUGUAUCCUUUUGUCAUUUUAUCAAGUAGUGUUGAUGCAUUCUUUUAUGUCUUCGAAUCAAAUUUGAAGAUAAAGAUGACGUAGAUGAUGAUCGAUGAGUGUUGUGCUCUGUGGUUGAGGUUCGAGUAGUACAGAAAUCUGGAAGAUAUUUGAACACAUGUGAUGCUGAGUCGAGAGGUUGUCAUUCAUACAUCUUAUGGACCCAUUUUGGAUCAAGAUUUUGCGAUAUUUAGCUGAGGAAUCUGGAAAGAUUGGGGAGACUUACUAUUCUCGUUUCUCAAGUAGUACACUCACGGACCUUCAAACUUGGGUGGCUGCAAAUAAAUCCAUCAUUGUCCUUCUGGUUUCACAUUAGGAAAGAUUCUAGCUCACGAGUGUAACAGAUCAUACUCAACAAAAACUGUAUCGGGUGAUCGAUAAUCAAUUAACCUGGAUACCUGUAUGCAAUUAAGAUCACGAUUCAGAAGCAUUCAACAUGAGUGUUAUUCAUAAUCAAUAGAUGAAGCUACUGCUAUAUCAGGUAAAUGGUACCCUAUACGUUGUUAGUUGCAGGGAUUCUUUCUCUUGUGGUUGAGUGCUGCCAACCUUUCCCCUACCAUGUUUUUCUUUUUCCUCUGAGCAAAAUGAUUCAUUGGAUUGAUGUAGAAGCAAUAAUCAUUUAGGCAUGUGUAGGUUAUACUCCAAUAUGAGCACUAGGCAACAUGAUUUCAUCGACUAUCCCAUGUAAUCUGGUAAGGGAUGUACACAGAAUUUUGAUUUCAGACACACUUCAUCUCUAAUUCACUUGAUGCGUUAUGAAGCUUCUGCAACUGCUAAAUAUGUUUCACUGACGAGGCGAUCCAAACAUAUUUUUUUCUGGUAGCUGAUAGAUGAACUCUAGUCUCUACUGCCUUAUGAAGCCUGCAUGCUUUCACUUGCAGAUUUCAUCAUUUUCUUUAAGAUUUAGAUACUUGUAAUAAUGAUGCAAUAAUGUUAGAUGAAUUGCUUCAAAAAUACAAAAGCUAGGUACUUAAUUAGGUUAACAAUUUUACUAACUAUUAAAUCUCUUAAUUUGAAAACUCACAUUCAACUCCUUCACUAAUAUCAGAUAACUGGAUGCACGAAGGAAGAAGGUUCAUUUUCAAUGACCACAAUGGUUUGAAUAUAUCAAUAAUUUGAAUAUGUGUUUGUGCACAUUAUUAAAUCUUCUACUGCUAGAAACAAAAUAAAGAAAGAAAAGGAUUAUCAUUAUACAACUACAAUGAAAGAACUGUCCUCUAGUUUCAUCUGGAGAAAUCUUUAUGAUUCAUAAAUCAAGAUGACACCAAGUGUCAAGCAGAACUUGGUUACAUGAUUUGUACGAUAUACCAUAUAUUAUAGAUUUAGCCAUAGUUGACAAUCUCAAUGAGUGCUUGAAUAAAACUAGUUCAUCAUGCUUUCAUUUCAUAAUUAAAUAGAAGCUACAGGAGGAAUAUUCUCCCAAAGUUCAUAGCUCUGUCACUGAGUACUAAUGUGAAGGCAAAAUGUUGCUGAAUUUUAUAGAAAAAUUCACAUGGAGACUGGAAAAUUCACUUCCAUUUGAACAGUCUAUGGCUCUAUGCAUGUGCUAAGUGAAUUUCUUGUCUCACAAAUUAGUCAAAUAUUUCCAGAAUAUAAAGAAUGGGAGUAUUUCAGGUGUGGCCUGGUGAUUAGAUAUGCGUGCACGAAGCAGAUGCAAUGUUGAAAUUCGAAAGCUGAGUUAUUAGUUAACUAAUCCGUUUAGUAAGACUAUGCCUUGCGACGCAGGCCAUUGAUUGAACCCUACGUUACUAACCCUACGAAAGAGUAAUGUGGUGGUGGCGAUCAAAGGGACAGUUUCCCAAUAAAUGAUAGGGCAGAUUGGCCAAAAUAUUUGUUCGUAUUCUUUGGAUGUUCAUCUUUAUUCUUAUUCUUCCUUCCAAGUGUACAUAGCCAUAUUGCAUAAGAAAGGCCACAGAAAGAGUCUGAAAGUAGAUCCAAAGCCUGUAGGGUAUUUGGAAUCCAUUUGCUACAAAAUCAAGAAAGUGGGUUUGAUUCUUAAACAUUCUUGUAUGCACGACGUGUAUUUACACGACGCAAUCUUAACUGUUCAUAACAAUUCAUAUGUUUGACUACCAUGUUUCUAUAAUAUUUGCUCUAAUCUUGACUAUUCAUAUAAAUAUACACACCGUAUACUAAAGAUGUCUCGUCGUUGCUCUUUAAAAACAAUGUGCUAAUGUUUUGUUUUGUUUCUUGACUUCUUCUGUACAUUCCAAAAGCACUUCUGGAAAAAGAAAAAAGACAUGUGAAAUAGCAUAACAGUGCAAAGGGUGUUUUGGAAUUUGGAUGAAUGGAGUAGACAUAUGUUUGGCAUUUUGCUCUUUUCAUUAAAGGUGAUUUAGAUCAGUGAGGCUGAGGCUGUCCUUCUGAUGAUAAGCUGUGGAAGAAUCCCAACAAAUUGUGAAAGAAAAGUUCCAAUACAUGGAGAUUUGAGAAUAGACUCGCCUUUUCAGUUUUUUCUUCUCCAUGGUGCCCACAGGUUUCUUCACUCAUUUUGUUUUUGGUGUGAGAGACAAACGUGCCAAAAAGUUGAGAAAUUCCAAUGUUAUCUAGAUGAAGCAGCGGCUAAGACUUUCCCAUAGCUAAAUCAGAGGCCUUAUGGCUAAUGUGGACUUGAUACAUAUUCCCUGCAAAGCAUCAACAAACCGUCCCACACCAGGAACUUUCCGGCCGAAACCAACCUGUGGUGUUUGCAAAACCACUUCCUCAACCCUCAACUAUCGUCUUCUUUGGAUACGUACGCACCCUCAAAGUUACCAUGGUGCCACCUAGAGACUAGAGCUGGUCUUUCAGAAUCUACCAUGUUCGAGACAUUUCAGUACAUUGAAACUUUUGUUCAGCAGAUAAUUUCUGGACUCCGAGUCUCCCACCGACCUUCAUUCGAUCAAGAAAGUAUCUUAGACAUCACUUAUAUUUGUAGACUCGACAUGGUGUUGCGUUUUAAUAGAGUUCAGAAAAUAUUUUAAACUUUGGUACUAUCCCAUUUCAGAUAAAUUAUGAAUAAACGACCGUUUAAAUGGACGACACUUGUCUAAGUCAUUGCCGAGCCCAGUAGCGUAGGUUUGUAACUAAGCAGGGCGUUAAAGUGACUGGUUGCCUAUCCUUGCUAGGAGAGGUGCUAGGGUCUUGAUUUGUAGCUCACUUCAGUGAGCAUUGCUACACACGCCCACCCACGGAUCAAGAUACUCCUGCAUCAUCGUGCGACCUAGUAUAGGCUUUGUCCUACAAUCACUUUUUAACUUGUUAUUGUCUCUCUUACCAGCUUAAUUUUUUGUUAAUCACCUGGUGUGGUAAGAUUGGUCGAGUUGUCUAGUAUGUAAACCCCAUAUCUAGAGUUUAAGUACCAACUCUCAACAGUUUGUGGCCAGCAGGUUUGAGGUGACUUUGUGUUUGUGCACAUGCGGCGGGAGAUUAGUCUACCCUUGCUGGGAUACAUUUGUAAACCUCAAGAUACUCUUGCAUCUCAUCGUGCGACCUAGCAUAGGCUUUGUCCUACAAUCACUUUUUGACUUGUUAUUGUUUAUCCUACCAGCUUAAUUUUUUGUUAAUCACCUGAUGUGGUAAGGUUGGUCGAGUUGUCUAGUAUGUAAACCCAAUAUCUAGAGUUUGAGUACCAACUCCCAACAGUUUGUGGUUAGCAGGUUUGAGGUGACUUCGUGUUUGUGCACAUGCGGCGGGAGAUUAGUAUACCCUUACUAGGAUACACUUGUAGAUCUCGGUGUGCAUAUUGACUGGGUUAGUAUGUUACUGACUUGCUAACUUAACCGAUGCCAAAAAGUUGAGAAAUUCCAAUGUUAUCUAGAUGAAGCAGCGGCUAAGACUUUUCCAUAGCCAAAUGAGAGGCCUAAUGGCUAAUGUGGACUUGAAUCACUUGAUACAUAUUCCAUGCAAAGCAUCAACAAACCGUCCCACACCGGCAACUUUCCGGCCGAAACCAACCUGUGGUGUUCGCAGAACCACUUCCUCAACCCUCAACUCGUCUUCUUUGGAUACGCGCGCACCCUCAAAGUUACCAUGGUGUCACCUAGAGGCUAGAGCUGGUCUUUGAGAAUCUACCAUGUUCGUGACAUUCAGUAUAUUGAACUUUUUGUUUCUAUUAGUUUAGUAGAUAAUCACAACCCGACCUUCCAUUCUUUCAAAAAGGUCAUGACUUAAUCUUAAAUGUCACUCAUCGUUGUAAGCUCGACAUAUAAAUGCGUUCUAGUGGAGUUAAGAAAACAUUGUAUACUUUGGUAAGUCUCACAUCAGAUAAAAUAUGAAUAAACGAUAGCUUAAAAGGACAACACUUGUUUAAGUCAUUGCCGAGCCCAAUAACGUGGGUUUAUAACUAAGCAGGGCAUUAAAGUGAUUGGUUGGCUAUCCUUGCUAGGAGAGGUGUUGGCGUCUUGAUUUGUAGUUCACUUCGGUGAGCAUUGCUAUGCACGCCCACCCUCGGGUUAGUAGGAAACCCCAUCCUCAAUGGGUGGGUAGUAAAUCAAACUUUGAAUUCAGCAAGAAGGUAUUGGGUGCAACACAUUUGGUUUGCACCCAUGGAUCAAGAUACUCCUGCAUCUCAUCAUGCGACUUAGCAUAGGUUUUGUCCUACAAUCACUUUUUGACUUGUUAUUGUUUAUCCUACCAGCUUAAUUUUUUGUUAAUUACGUAGUGUGGUAAGGUUUGUCGAGUUUGAGUCCCAACUCCUAUCAGUUUGUGGCCAGCAAAUUUGAAGUUACUUCGUGUUUGUGCACAUGCGGUGGGAGAUUAAUCUACCCUUACUGGGAUACACUCGUAGACCUCAAUGCACAUACUGACUGGAUUAGUAUGUUAUUGACUUACUAACUUAACCGAUGCCAUAGCAAUCUCCAAUUAUUUAAAAUUUUUGACAUGUAGCUCGUAUCUUCCAAUCCAUCAUCACCCACCAUCGUCCUAACUGUUGCCCCAUGAAGUGAUGGUAUCAAGGAAUGCUUGAUGACCCUAAGUUAUGUCGAGUAAAGCUACGGUAACCCGGAGUCUUUAGAAAAAUCCAGAAUCUCCUUUGCAGUCAUGCUUGCUGUUUCAUCCAUAACCAAGUCCACCCUAUCAUGUGUUAGGUUUAGCAAACCUAACAUUACACAAGUUUCCAACAAACUCAUUGGCAUGUUCAACUGGUCACUAGGAAUUGGCUGCCAUCCCACUCGAAUUCAAAUUAAGAAUUGAUAAACUAAUCUAAGGGCAAGUUGCCACAAGAAAGCAGGAGUGUAACUCUUGAAUUUCAAAAGCAAGGACCGGGCGACAUAACCGUUUCCUUCCUUUUAAUUUCAGUUUGUUGAAUAUCCUGCAACAAAUGGAAGCCGUACUUUAAUCUUUGAAGCAUAUUCACAUCAUGACUGCGGUUACAAAACUGUUCUAUUGUGGCAUUUGGCAUCUCUAAAUUAAGAAAAUUUCAUUCUAAUCCAUAUGAUCAAACCCAUUCAUGACAAAACUUUAGUUUGUGGUCAUAUGAUGCCAGCCCAAUCCACUUUGAUGAAUCCAUUACAUGCUUCCUCGUUUCUAUCCCGUCUCUGUCCAGAAGGCCAUUGAAAAUUACAGCAGCAAUUUACGGCAACAGCUCCAUUCAACUGAAUUUGCCAAUUUCCAUCUUCUUUUUAAUAGCCUUCUGACCAUGGUAUAUAAAUGAAUCCAAUAUUCCAGACACGGUAAAAACACCUGAAAAACAACAUAGUUUGUGUAUCAAAACAAUAAGAAAAGAAACACGGAUGAACUAUUUGACAAGAGAUCAAGAAUGCAUGAGCAAUUUGAGACCCACAUACCACAAGGAUCAUAAGUAAUUGACAGAAAGGAACCCCUAGAAUGUACCAUGUUGCCAAGGUUAACAAGUCUUUAAAAUGUUCACACAAGGCUAGGAAACUAGGAGAUUACUCUACAGCGUAAGAAUACUUGGAAGUUAAUAAUCAUUCAGUAAUUACCUCCAACAAUGGCACACACAUUUGUCAAGAAGUGUAAGAAUGAAAUAUGCUCCUCUGUGAAAGUUACCUGGAUUAAAAAAAAAUAAAAAAUUAGCUAUGAGACCCAAAAAAGAGAAAAAAGCCCAUGCCCAAAAGUGAUCUAGAUAAGUAUCUUGAAAUUGAUUAAAUAAUAUCCUACGGAAUUGGUAAGCAACAAAACCCACCUUUAUCGGGGAAAGGUCAUAGAAGAAAAACACUCCAGGAAGGAACUGAAGGUUGCCUAUUUCUGUACCCCUAUAAUGUUCAGUGACAGAGAACUGCAAAAUCCAAUUAUGAAGGUAUAACGUUAUAUUCCACCGGCACACAGCAAGUUUCAGAAUAGAACCAUCUAUUAUCCUUUUCCGGUUCGAAUUUACGCACCUGAUUUGACUGGAUAGUGUGCCCACUGACAUCUGUGUACACAGUAGGAACAACCUGCAAAAUGCAAACUAGGAGAAUCAUCAUGCAGUACCAAAGUACCUUGCUUGAAUUUCUGAAUGUUACUAUAUACAAACAAUGUGCACAACUGUGUAAGGCCAACUUCUAGCUAGAGACUAUGCAAGGGGAAAAAGAGAGGCAUUCUCCUGUAUUUACGAUAACUAGAACAAGCAUGUGGUGAAAACAGGUACCUUGGCGAAAAAAAUAAGAGACGUUGGUCUAGUUUGUUUAAAUUUAGUAGAAAACUUAUCCAAUGACGAGAAAAUUUGUUAAUCUUGAAUUUUUUCCCCCUGUGCUAUCUAAAAUAUAUUCUUUGCAUGCUUGUAGUGGUUGUGCAUAUGUACAAUCAUAUCAUGCAAAGAACCUGUGAUGAGCAGCUUGACAUCUUUUAUUUUUAUUUUGGUGUGGUAGAUCUUCCUUCGGUUCUAGCCAAGUAUGGCAGCUUGCGGCCAUAAUAAAGAAAAUAGUAUAUUGUUGUGAAUUCAAAUUCCUAAUGGUAUCAAUUUUCCUCUAGAGAUUGAAUUUCAAAAAUGCUUGUAAGAAAACAAAAAACCAGACUUGGUACAAACAAUAAAAAGAGUUGAGACAAUAUAAUGCACCUUCCAUUAGAAAAGGAAAACUGUAACAAAUUUUUUGCUGGACUCUGACCUUGAUAAAAUAUUGAUACAUCCCACUUGGGUUGUCCUGUGUCCAGUGCACCCUGAAGGUUAACAAGCAACGUACACAAGCACAUAUUAGUAUCCAAUGUAUAUGAUUAAAAUAUCCAACACCUAGAGGAAUUCAAUAAAUUGUAGUAAAAAAUCUGGAAAGGAAGGAGCAUACCCAUCAAGAGGAUUGACAACACCAGGGAAGUAGUCUCCAAAAGACAAUCUGUUGAUUGUGUGACUUAUCUGUGUCAUAUAACACAAAUUAAUUAGAUGUAGUCUUUGACAAAGAUGGGAUUUCAAAAAAACUUAACAAGAAAAUGUGAUGAUUCCAUAACAUCGUUUUGUAAUUUCAUUAUAUAUACAGAAAUAAAAAUUAAAAAAACAACAUAACGUCACGGAUCAUGUCUUACAUUAAAGCUAUCCUUUUGAAACGCCAGCAAAUCAUGUACAUGAACAUUUGAUUGUUGAAAGCUUUUCCCAGGUGCAAAAUGAAAGUUCCCAGCCACCUUAUUGACUUCCAAGAAUCCAUAUAUAUUGCAUCCUUCACCUUCUUCAUCUUUAAUCCUUUGCAUAAAUCCUUCUCUUUUGCACUGUCAUGCCACAAAAAGAAACAUAGAUAGUGUUAUACAUCAAAAAUAGCAAUUACUAUUUGUUUGGGGGGGGGGGGUAGGAAAAUACAUGUAUAGGAACCACCGAGACAUGUAAAAAGAAGACAGACUAAGAAUGAAAUAUUGCGGAAGGGGUGGAGUUAAAAUACAACUGGCAAGGCCCACUGUUUGCUUGUUGAAAAUCGAGAAAAAUCCAAGUAAUUUCUCCAUUGUAAUGAGACACAGAUAGAAUUCACACUAUCAAAUUUCAGAAUUAAUGGAAAUGAAACUUGAUACCACUAGAUUUGUCCGAUACUGUACACUACCCAUUUGUGGGUGCUUUCUCUGGCUACACUACAAACACUGUCCAUCAGUACUCAAAAGCUAGCCCAUCGAUAACUUUGCAAAAUAUAUUAGUAGCUAGAAGGGUCCGACUGCUAGGGAAAGCUAGCCUAAUAUAUUAGAUCCAGAGGCUUCAAUUUCAAAAUAUCCAGAGGCUUCAAUUUCAAAAUAUAUUAUAUUUUUGAUCUAAGUACCAUCUAAAGUCAAAAAUCAGAAAGAAAGGGAGAAAAAUGAAUAAGGUUUCAGAUGAAAGGUUUACAUGACAAGAAAUGAAGGAAUUGAGGCAAUAUAUCCAACCAAUUGUUCCGGAAAUGUUAGAAAUCAAUUACGACCGACCCAGAAAAAUAUAUCCCAUACAUAUAAUUUAUACACACAGGCAUGACAAUUUCAAAGCAAUAUAAAUCUCUUAUGGCAUUGCUAGUUUGCAUUCAAGCCUCAAGCUCACAAACCUGGUCAAUCAAAUCUGGAUUUGAAAUGGCCCAACCUUUCUUUCGGUAAGCUUCACGGACCUCUUCACAGUUAUUACAGCAGUCCUCAUCAUUCUGCAUUAAUUUGAAAUGGAAACAAAAAAUGUAAGAAACUCAUAGCUAAAUGGAAACUUUUUCGAGCAAGAUGAUCACGAAUGGACCAAAUUUUUGCUUAUAUUAGCAAAGCCUCUUGACAGCCCCAGCAUAAAAUUCAAAUGAAAACAUUUCCACAACUCGAAAUGCAUAAAGCCUAGGCAGAAAUGAAAUCCAAAGCUACAGAACAAUGCAGUUGGGAUGGAAAGAUAUGACAAGCUUAACUACUAAUCAAACACCAACGUACAAAGACAUGCCGAGUAACCCUUUCCUCUUUGAAGCAGGAUGUAAUCAAGUCAGAAUAGUUGACUAUACAAGCUACAUACAUAUACACAAACGCUGAAAAACAUGGAGAGAUAAUUGAAAGCUGUUUGUUUUGAGUUCUCUAUUAAUGUUAUGGAAUUGAAUUGGUAUAAUAUAUUAAAAACCCUCACUUAUUACAUAUAAUAAAUGGUCCAAGAUACUCUCUUAAAAGCUCCCACUUCCAACAGAACCCUAUUUUCACCCACUCAGGAAACUCACUCUUACCUUUGCAGCUCAACUUUCUCUUUCCCACCCCAAACACCCAAACUCCGUCCCAUAUUUUCUGGCUUAGUGUUAAAAGACAGGAUACGAUCGGAAAGUAUCUCUAGUCAUGUGACCAUGGCAAUACAUACACCCAAACUCCGUCCCAUUUUUUCUGGCUUACUGUUAAAAGAUUGGAUACAAUUGGAUAAUAAAAUAUCUCUAGUUCAUGUGACCAUGGCAAUACAUCAUAAUCAGGACUAUUACACAGAUAUACAGGAUGGAUUGCUGUCACCUAUCUAGUUCAGCAAUCGUCGAUAUACUAGAAUAAAGAUAUACAAAAAGCUUCCAUGACUAUAAUUAACCCAAAUGAAGCAUAAUCCAAACACACAUGCUUACCGCUUCAGCACCAUAACAGGAACCACAGUAUGUCUCGUUGUGCUCAAGUCUGCCACCAUGUCUCUGCAAAGGCUUGUCAAUCUGUCACAGGAAGAUAGAAUAAGUACAAUGAAAACAACAGAGUCAAAAAAGAAAAGCCUUUUUCGAUAAUGUCAAUCAGCAAACCAAAAGAUUAUAACUAUUCUCAAUACAUUUGUACUUGCAAAAUAUAGCAACUUUUGAUGUAUCUCAAUGUAUAUUAUGUAGUCUGAAAAUUGUACUUCAAAGCUCAAACAUACUAACCUUGGGAGCACCGAUUCCAUCCGGCCGUGAUUCUAUAACAUUUCCAUGGGAAUCUAUUCUUUUUUUAUAAUGUCAUGUUUCUGCAAGUUAGGUAAGAAACAAAUUUCUUAAACGAGUGAAACUUGAAUUUAACAAAAAUGUAGAAUAGCAUGAGCUGUGUAGAGACAAGAGAUCAAUAAGAAUUUCAUUGUUGCCAAGUAAUUUUCAAUACGUACUACAUCAAGGUGCUGCUCUCCACUGAUGUCCAUAGCAUCAAGACUGAGUAUAGAACAAGGAAGCGCAGCAAAAGUUACAUCGAACUGCACUUGUAAAAGUCGAAAAAUAUCGCAAUCAUUAGCUUAAGUGAACAAUCCUAAGGAAUCACAAUAUUAGCAAACUAAACAAACUCGAAGAUAUCAGAUAAACAACAUUACAUUGAUACGCAGGGUUUCUCCUCUCGAAGUAUCCACCACAAGCUUCGUUUCCGUCACCGCAUGUAGAUAUAAUUCUGCUCCCACGCCACAUAACUCAGAUUAUCAAUCAACAACUUUUCGAAACAAAGAAUACACAAUCGUCUCCGUAUCGAAAAAAUGCACUAGAAAUUCAAAAUUGACAAUACUCGACAAUUGAAAACCCUAGAAUCGAACAGAUCUUGAAUGAAAGCACAAAAUCAAAAACGUACGGAGCUCGGAGAGGAAGAGGAGGAGCAUAACGACGGAGGAGGCGAGGGUGAUGACGCCGCCGGAGAGGGUACGGCUGUAGAAAUCUUCGUUGAUUUUGGGAUAGGCGUCCAAAUUCCGGAGCUUGCUCAUCAUAUUCUCCAUGGUCUCUGCUAUACCCUAACAAUCGAGCUUGCGAUCUUGUUGUUCUCGAUCUAAGAAAACCUAAUGAAAUCUAAUUGAAAUUGAAAUUGAAAAUGAAAAUAAAACUAAGGGAUAGAGAGCCCCGUUGAAAUUGAAAGAGAAAGGGAGAGACCUACUGGGAUUUUAUUAUUGAGAGGGGAAAAUUUGACGAACGGGGCGUCUCAAGUUUUGGCCUUCCUUUUGGUUUGGUUUGGUGUGAGAGAGAAGCCUUGGUUUUUGUUUUUAUUUUUGGUUGAACAAACUUUCAAGGCCUACUUGUGUUUUUUUUUCAGAAAGAUUUAAUUCUGUCUUUUGACACUUUGUAUGUAUCGUUUAAUAUUUUCCUUUUUUGUCUUGCCGAAACCGUAGUCUAUAGCAAGAAUGUACAAAUUAGGGUGGAAAAACGGUUUUAGAUUGUCUGAUCUCAAUUUGUGUUGCAGUGUUCGGUGAACUUUUGGUAGUGUACAUAAACUAGUUAAUAACUUUUAAACGUGACUCGAACACGAUAUAAAAUUAACAUUUAACUAUAAAGAAAACAAACAUAUCAAAGAAAAAGUUUUAAUAAUGAUAUGUUUAUUAACCUCUUGGAAGGCUGGAAUGAAAUUAAGAGUGACGGAAUUGAUUCUUGGACGAGUGAAUUUCGGCAUUUACUAACAUGUCAAGGUAUUAGAAUGGAGGGUUCCACUUGCUUAUCAGACAUAAUUAUAAAAUUUCCAAAUUAUCCAAUCCUAAAUAAUUACAAACAUUAUAGCUUCCUUUCUUGUAGAGGUAUUUUAGUAAUCAAACUACUUUUAGUUCUGAUUCCAUAUAGUAACAACAUUUAUUGGUAUUAGUUUCAUUCAUGUUUUGAUUCAUUAUGAUAAGUGAACAGUAAAAUGAAAUGAAAUAAUCUCAUACCGAUUCUUGUUGAUACCGAUUCUUGAUAAUUUUCAUUAUAAGUUAGUAAACAUGUCCUAAGAGUUGUAAACUGGGUUAGAUAGAACAUACAAUUCAAAACAUCCACAGUAGUGCAAUACUGGUAUUUGAUGAAACAUUUGCAAAUUUGGGUUCUCGAGAUGUUCAACCUAGCUUACAAAGUAGUGUUGAUAAUCACAUGUCAGGACGUCUUCAUUCAAGAAAAACAAAUUUUCUCACAAGGUGAUUGGAACUUUGGAAGAAUGAAAUUCCCAUUGGGAGUAGUCUAGCUCUAUGUACGGCAUGAGAGCAAUUGCGUUCGUCUUGGCAUGAUGAGGCUGGGGGAACUUUGGAAGAUGCGAGUCAUCUUCAAACUCUAGUACCAAAUACUCAUCACGUUAAAUAUCAAAGGCCAAAGUUUUUUCAAACUAGUUUGCAAAUGCUUGUAGCGCUAAACUGUGCAUCUCAACUUUUGAUUCAAUUGGAUCGAAUUUAUCCUCUACAAGCUUUGCUAUUGCUUUCUGAAUUUCUUCUUCUCUUUAAGGGGCGCCGGCUUGGCUUCAUGCCACCAUUUUCAUCUCUUUUUUGUUUGAUAAGUUGAUUUUGAUUUUUAGCUUACAGAAAAAGAACCAUCAGUUUCAGUUGUAUUCUCCUGUCCAAAAUAGUAACCCAUAAGAAGGUAGCUGAACCGCUGAAAUCCAAAUCUUUUAGAAAAAUACCCUAACUAUUUCUCAUUCAGAAAAAAAAGAAAUAAACAAUCCAGAUAAAAAUUCCUAUGUUCUCAGUAAAAAGAAAAAAUCAAAAGGAAUCCUUCACUACAAUAAGUCUGGUUUUGCCCUCAGAUGGCUCAUCUAUCCUGACUCUUUUCAAAAAGCAAUGACUUCAAUAAAAGAAAGGAACUAGCUAGGAGAUCAAUGAAGUGCCAGCUGCAACUAGGAGAUCGCCUCUCUCAGUUUUGACAAGACCUGAUGAGAAUUGAUAGUAGUAUUCAUAUCAUCAUACCAAACACGUACAGUAGUAUAGCUAGGAACUAAACUUCAAUUUCAACUUAAGAAGUUAGGCCUCCAGUUUGAAGAACUAGACAACAUAAGCAUCAAUACUUGAAAUUACAUAAGCUAAAAAACAAAUAGAAGACUAAAUCUUGCAAGCAAAACAAUGCAUUGUCAUGACUUGAAGAAAAAUCUUGGUCUUUUUCUGUCAAAAAAUGAAUAAUGAUUGGCAUUAUCUAUCAGGUUAUUGGCCCCCAGGUUUCUGAAUUUGCAACCCCAGAUACCUAUAUUUACUUGCAUGAUUAGUCUAACUGAAAAUUUACAGAAGCCACAAAGCAAACAUUUUUUUUUGAAAACUUUUUAUUAAAUAACUCACACACCCUACAUAUGUCAAUGAGGUUUGAUCCCAUGACGUCAAAGUUGUUAGUUAACCACCUUAACUAACCACGCCACGGCUCACCGACAGCCACAAAGCAAACAUGAUAUUGUCAUGCAAUCAAUAGUUUCAUUUGACUUGGUUCAUUGCUUCACAAAAGACUUCAUCUUUUGUGCAAUGAUGAGAAUCUUCAGAAGGAAUUCUUGAAUGAAAUAAGGGCGCUAACUGAGAUUCGACACCGAAACAUUGUGAAGCUCUAUGGUUUCUGUUCACAUAAGCAAAACUCUUUUUUGGUGUAUGAGUAUCUAGAAAGAGAUAGCUUGGCCAGUAUGUUGAGCAAAGAUGAUAAAGCUCCUUGGAGUGGAGUAAAAGAGUGAAUAUUGUGAAAGGUGUGGCUCAUGCAUUGUGUUACAUGCACCACAAUUGCUUGCCACCAAUUGUCCUUCGUGACAUAUCGAGCAAGAACAUACUGCUCGACUCUGAAUAUGAGGCCUCUGUUUCAGACUUCGGCACAGCCAAGUUCUUAAUCCCAGACUCAGUUAAUUGGACUGCCAUUGCAGGCACACAUGGAUAUGUGGCACCAGGUAAGCUUGUUGUUCUAUAUUCUUAUAGUUUUACACCUUCUUAUGCUUUCUUUUUAGGCAUAUCCUUGCAUACUCAAUGAAAUGAAUCUUUUAUGUAAUUUUUCUUUUUACAUCAUUCUGUUUUAAAACCCUACUCUUUUUCCUUCGUUUAGUACGUGUGUGUUAUAGUCAAUAAAUUUCCCUUCAUUACGAGUUUUUAUCUGAGCAUGCAGAGCUUGCUUACACGAUGGAAGUGAAAGAGAAAUGAGAUAUUUAUAGCUUUGGAGUGGUGACACUGGAAAUGGUCAUGGGAAGGCAGUUCUCUCAUCUUUAUCCUCGUCAUCUAUCUCAUCAUCAGCUGCAUUACCAUCCCAUCAAAUGCCAGUUGAGGACAUUUUGGAUCAGCGUAUUUCCUCUCCUACACAGGGAGUUGCAGGAGAAGUUGUCUCUCUUGUGAAGGUAGCAUUUGCAUGCUUGAAUUCCAGUCCUCAAUCUCGUCCAACAAUGAAGCAAGUUUCUGAACACAUCUCAACUUGAAGACUGCAUUUAUCAGAUCCACUUGCUAUGAUAACAUGUGGUGAAUUGCUUGCUUCUAAUGGUUUGACUACCUGAAGGAUUGUGAAUCAAGAAUGUGCUUCUGUCUUGUGUGUAAUUCCGUCCAUGGUGUGAACAUCUUUUCUUUAGUGGAAAGAAAGAUAUUAAACAAUUAUUUUCUUAAUGUAUUUUUACAUUAUAUACUGGUGUGAGGGCUCAGUUAUAAUAAAAAUGCAAGGAUUUUCCUUCUGUAUAUGAUCUGCUAGUUUGCAAGUAUAAUCUGUGUGUUCUGUUUUAGAUAGACGAACUUUGGUUUACAGGAAUUGGGACUCUUGCAGCUUAUAGUAGAUGUUAAGUUCCUUGACAGAAUCUGUUAUCUUGUAGUCCCUCAGUUCGGAUUCUAUGUCUCAAAAUUUUACUAAUGUAAAUAGUUGUUUCAAAAUUAAAAGAUGAAUGAGGAUGUAAAUAACUGUACUAAAUUGAUACGAUAACAAUAAAGUAACAGAAAUAAUUAAGGGGAAUUUUCAUAUACACCCAAUUUUGAAGAGUGGUUUUAAAUAAAACCCACCUAAUAUUCCUAUCUGAUAGACAUUUAAAAUGUAUCAACUAUGAUAAAUAUUAUGUCAUAUUUUUUCUAAAUUUUACACAAUUGCCACCAUUCAACUAUAACAUAUUAAUAUAAUAAAUAAGCUUAAUUGAUGUUGUCUUAAAUACCUUGAUUAUGAGUUUUUCUUCUAACACUAACAUUUUUCAAUCAAUUUGCAAGAAUCAUGUAGUUUUCUUUAUUUUUAUGAAAAAAUCUAGAUUAAAGGAAUUCAUUAUCUAAUCUAUACAUAAGAUAAAAUAUAAUAUGAAUAAGAUAUUUGAUCUAAACCUUAAACCCUGUACCCUAUACCCUAAACCCUAAACCCUAAACCCUAUACCCUGAACCUUUACCCUAACUCUAUACCCUAACCCUAUACCAUAACCCUAUACCCUAAACCCAAUUUUGGGUUUCUUCUUUUUAGGUAUAUUAUUAUAUUAUGUCCUACUUAAUAGGUAUAUUAGAAACGUAAGUAGUAGAGAGUAAAAUAUUCUCUCAAUUAGGAUGAGAAAUGAUAUAAUAAUAUACCUAAAAAGAAGAAAAUUAAUCAAAGAACAAGAACGUGUACCUUACAAUUAGACAUUUUUAUACUAUAUAGAGAGACACCAAAUGUGAGCUUAGGAAUGAAAAGUAUAAUAUCCUAAUACAAAUGACAUAGCAUAUAUAUAUAUAUAUAUAUAUAUAUAUAAACUCAAGUUAGUAAUAACAAGGUAAGAAAUUAAAGAAUGUAAUUGAUUAUGACAAAGUUAAAUCCAACUAAAUUUUAGCUAGUAUUUGAGUUUCAAAUUGAUGCUAAAAUUGAGAAAUAUACUAAAUUUAGCUUUCUACUAUCUGAAGGGCAAAUUAGAGAAACCGAAAAAUGAAUAAAACUAUUAAUUAUAGAGAUUUGCUCUAUAUGGUAUGUUUGCUUAUGUGGAGUAGGUGUAAAAUAAAAGAAAAAUAUGUAUGGAUUUAUCUUAAAAGUGGUCUAGUAUUUUGAGUUUUUAUCUAAUUUUCUCAAUAAUUAAAUUAGAGAAGGAUUGGAAAAGCGAACCUCAGUUGCAAUUCAAUGGAGUAGCAUUUCUCAAAGAGGCUAGGAGGCAAGUUUGAACCAUCAAUUACAUUUGAGCAACACAUUUAAACAACUGCCAAGGAACUAAAUGAAUGAGAAACUAGAACAGUGUUGCAUGUUCUUCGUCACUUUGAAGGAUGAGGCGUUAAAACCUUCAAAAUAUCAGUAUUUUGAGAAAAAAAAAAAUUCUGUAACAAAGCAGGUGACUUUAAUUACAAGAUCAACAACGAACGACAUCCAAAGAACAAUCAAGAGUCAAAACAGUUGAUAGUGUGCACUUCCCUCUCAUGAUCACUAUUAUGACCGGAGAAAAAUAUUUAAAUACUAGAAGUCUAGAAAGAAGGAGCCAUCUCAGCUCACUUCCAUGUAUCAUUUUCAAUUCAAUAAAUGAAAUGAGAAAAACUAGAAAUUUAAUCUGACUUUGGAGAUAAAAGACACAAACUUCUAUUCCGAAGUCUUCUGCAAACUAUCUUACAGUUAAGAGAGAAAACUGAAAGACACAGACAUUGGAAUGACUUUCUAAGUCUGAACAGCAGCUUCUAAUUAGUGCAGUAGCUGGUAUAAGUUCAAUGUUCUACACUCAAACAAAAUUCAUGAGAUCUUUUAAACAAGAAAGAAAAAGAACACCAUGAGAUUUUCAUCUUGUUAUGAUAAAGUAUGUCUCAUAGCAUAUUGCCUGAUACUGUAUCUUCAUCUCGUUCAAUCACCCAACCAUGUAGCUUUUGCUUCCAGAGAAGCAGAGGCACUUCUCAAAUGGAAAGCCAGCCUUAUGAACCAACCCGUGAACAAUCUCAUCUCUUGGAGUUACCUUCCCAGCAAUAACAAGGCAAAUGCAAGUUCAUGCUUUUGGGCCGGUAUUUCAUGCAACACUGGUGGAAGUGUCAGCAGGAUAAACCUUACCAGUUCUGGUAUACAAGGUACGCUACGAGAGUUUUCAUUCUUGUCCUUCCCUAAUCUCGAAUAUCUUGACUUGAGCAUGAAUAAACUCUUUGAUGCCAUCCCACCUCAAAUCAGUUUCCUCUCCAAACUCGUCUAUCUUGAUCUUUCUAAUAACCAACUAAACAGUUCAAUCCCAACAUCUCUAGGUAAUAUGACAAACCUUACCAACCUCUAUCUCGGUGUAAAUGAACUUACCGGAACUAUUCCUACAUAUAUAGGGAACCUAAAAUCUCUUUUGGCUCUAGGAUUGAGUGAUAAUCAACUCAAUGGUUCAAUUCCAAAAAUACUAGGCAAUCUGACAAGCCUUACAAAUCUCUAUCUUGGAGUGAACAAACUUUCUAGCACUAUCCCUUCUGAACUAGGAAACCUGAAGUCUCUUGUGGAAUUAGGCCUGCCAAAUAACAAUCUUUCAGGUUCAAUCCCCACUUCCUUGGGAAACCUGAGCAAUUUGGAAUUCUUAAGCCUUUCUGCCAACCACCUUUCCGGCUCAAUCUCCCAAGAAUUAGGAAAUCUGACAAAAUUGACUAACUUGCAAUUGGGUGAUAAUCAAUUUGUUGGUUAUCUGCCCCAAAACCUGUGCGAAGGUGGACCACUCACAUUCGUUUCUAUCAGAGACAACUAUUUUAUUGGCCGAAUCCCCAAAAGCUUGAAAGCAUGCAAGAGCUUAAGAAGAUUCAAUCUUGAUGGGAACCAAUUGACAGGCAAUAUUUCUCAAGACUUGGGCGUGUUUCCAAAUCUUGUUUAUAUAGAUUUCAGUCACAACAAGUUCUACGGUGAAAUCUCGCAUAACUGGGGACAAUGCCUGCAGUUAACAACACUACUAAUGGCGGGAAACAGCCUAACCGGUAGUAUACCUUCUGAGGUCGGAAAUGCAACCCAAAUUCAAGAACUGGAUUUUUCUUCAAAUCGUUUAGUUGGGACAAUUCCAGAGGCCAUUGGGAGAUUGACAUUUUUGCUGAAGCUGAUGUUGAAUGACAACCAACUAUCAGGUAGUAUACCAUUAGAAUUAGGAUCCUUUGCAAGUCUAGAAUACCUUGAUCUGUCUUCUAACAAACUAAAUGAAUCAGUUCCAAGCAUUGUAGGAAACUUUCUCAAAUUAACCUACUUGAAUUUGAGCAACAAUGAGUUCGGACAAGGAAUCCCAUUCCAGUUGGGGAAAUUAGAGCAUGUGUCCCAGCUAGAUUUAAGCCAUAAUUCACUUAAAGGUAAGAUACCGUCAGAAAUGAGCAGUAUGGAGAGUUUGGAGAUCCUCAGCCUUUCCCACAACAAUCUUUCUGGUCUCAUUCCAACAAGUUUUGGAGGCAUGCGCGGAUUAUCCUAUGUUGACAUAUCUUACAAUGACUUGGAAGGUCCUCUUCCCAACAACAAAGCAUUUGAAAAUGCUCCGCGAGAGGCAUUACAAGGGAAUAAAGGAUUGUGUGGCAAUGUUCCGGUUUUGCAACCCUGCAAUAAAAGUAGCUCAAAGAAGGACCACGGAUUGAUAUUUCUAACUACCAUCCCAUUUCUAGGAGCACUUGCACUUCUAUUUGUUAUCUUUGUAUUUGCUUUUCUAGCAAAAAGAAAAAAGCAGGAUCAACGUAUGGAACAAAACAACAAGCAUGACGAGAUUUCUCUUUCAGUAUUAAAUUUUGAUGGCAAGUUGAUGCAUGAGGAAAUCAUAAAGGCAACAGAAGAUUUUGAUCCCAUGUAUUGUAUUGGGAAGGGAGGACAUGGAAGCGUCUACAUAGCAAAUUUGUCAUCUGCUAACAGAGUGGUGGCUGUGAAGAAACUUCAUCCGCUAUGCAGUAAUGAGAAAAGUCAUUAGAAGGAAUUCUUGAAUGAAAUAAGGGCACUAACUGAUAUACAACACCGAAACAUUGUCAAGCUUCUAGGUUUUUGUUCGCAUCAACGACACUCAUUUUUGGUGUACGAAUAUCUAGAAAGAGGUAGCUUGGCCACCCUGCUGAGCAAAGAUGAUGAAGUGAAGGAACUGGGGUGGGGUAAAAGGGUGAAAAUUGUGAAAGGUGUAGUUCAUGCCUUGUCUUAUAUGCACCAUGACUGCUUGCCACCAAUUGUGCAUCGUGACAUAUCAAGCAAGAACAUAUUGCUCGACUCUGAAUACGAGGCUUGUGUCUCAGACUUCGGCACUGCAAAGUACUUAAACCCAGACUCGGCUAAUUGGACUGCCCUUGCAGGCACAUAUGGCUAUGUGGCACCAGGUAAUAUUAAUCUCUAUCUGUCUUUUAUACUGAUAAACCAAUCAGAAAAUUGAACAUGUACAAUUGUAAUUAAAUAUCUAUUACUAAGAAGAUAUCAAGUGAGGUUAAUGUGUAGAAGAAAGAUUCUUAUACUAAAGAAGACUAAAAUCUGUCUAUAGACUUAUGAGUUACAAUAAGAUAAUGCAUAAAAAAAACUUCGUGCAUUGGACGAUACUAACUGAAAUAUCAAAUUAAAUAGUUUAGAAGCUUGUGGAUACGUAGGCAACUCAGUUGGUUUUAUACUUUUAUUGUGUGUUCAAGAAGGUUGUUUUACCCCCAAAAUGUUCUGAACAUUUAAGUUAAUGAUUUGGUUAGGUUUAUGGCUUAUGUCAGUUAUGUGUAAGCUUUCAUUCAAUAGUUCUAUCUAUGUACUAGUCCUGGCCUUCCUAAGAGUUUAAAUUUGGAGAGCAGAGCUUGCUUACACUAUGGAAGUGAACGAAAAAUGCGAUGUUUAUAGCUUUGGGGUGGUGACAUUGGAAAUAGUCAUGGGAAGGCAUCCAGGAAAUUUUCUCUCAUCUUUAUCAUCGUCAUCAGCUGCAUUACCGGCCCAUCAAAUGCCAACUCUGGAUGUUUUGGACCAACGCAUUUCCCCUCCCACACAUGAAGAGGCAGUGGAGGUGCUGUCUAUUGUGAAGACAGCAUUAGCAUGCUUAAAUUCCAGUCCACAAUCUCGUCCAACAAUGAAGCAAGUUUCUCAACACCUCUCAACUCGAAGAUUGAAUUUGUCAAACCCUAUAGCUAUGAUAAAAUGUGGGGAAUUUCUUGCUCUUCAACGUCUGGCUAUUUGAUGAAUUUUGAAUCAAGAAUGUGCUUCUAUCUUAUACCUAUUUCCCUAUUUUGAAUUGCUUGCUCUCAUUGCCAUACUUCCUGAGAGGCUGGGAGUAUGGAAUGGGUUACUUCAGCAAUAAGACCUAUUUAUCAAAUGUUUACUUACUGUAAUAAGACAUGCAAUUAUGCAAGGAUAUACUUUGUUAAUUGAUGGUCUGAUGUUUACAAAUUACAAUUUAUGUGUUAUGUUCUGUUUUAGGGCCAUCACACUUCUAUGUUGGAAAUGGGAGAUAUGUUUUGAACAUUAAUCUGAUGAAAAAACCGUACCAAAUCACUUUUAUGAGCUUUUUUGAGCAGAUUUGGCUAUGAUGAAAUAAUAGUACUAAUCUCGCCACGUACAUCCAAGAUAAAGACCAUAUAUGCAUGCCAAACUAGCUAGUAUGCACCAAUAAAAGAAGACGAAAAAAGGGGCAAAACUGGACUGAAAUGAAGAGUAGCCAAAUUCCAUCAAGAGUUCAAUGAAAUUAAACAGCCAGACGAGAAUUUGAUGAUCAUGUCUAAUACAUAUCUACAUACCUCAGACUCAUCUUUCCUUUAUGUAUUUUGUUCUAGACAUAACAGAGUCAUAUAUAUGUGAAAUUUGGAUUUAUCUCUACAUUUGAAAGAUGAAGAUAUUGCUUUGCACAAAUUGUUCAUUAAAGGAAAACCAAGGUAGAAUCAAGGGCUUAAGGCCAUGCAUGGCAAUUUCUCAUUUUCUUCUAAAACUUAGGCUUCUCACUUCUCACUUUCUCAUUUAUCAUUUAUCUCUACAUUUGAAAGAUGAAGAUAUUGCUUCACUGAUCUCAGGCUUCUCACUUCUCAGCAUCUCUUCUCUUCUCUCAUUCUCUCUUCCUCUCACUGUCAGUGUCUCACAUCGACUCGCGGCCUCCAAGCCCUCCAGUCCUCCACCGUUUACCUCCGUUAAGCCCUCCGUGAGUCCUCUUUCUCACUUUAAUAGAUCUGCUUCUCCUUACUCAAGAGUCAAGAGUCAAGCUGGAAGUGUUUGAUUGGGUUUUUAGGCUGUAUUGAAUUGUUGUUAGUUGUUACUGUUAUUAUAAUUGUUUGGAAUUUGAUGUGUAUGAAUACAAUUUGUUGAAAUUUAGAGUGUUGAAUCGAGUUAGGGACUUAGGGAUACGAUUUCUAAGUUUUCUGUUGAUUGAUUUUGGAGGCUAAGCAUCAUAGAUGCAGGGAAUUAUGGUUUAAGGUUGUGUGAAUAAACUUAGAAGCAAAAUGGGAGAUGAGUAUCUUGGUGAUUGUAUGGUCUUUCACAUUGAGAAAGAGUAUGUUGAAUCUGUUACUAAUGAGGAGGUGGUUAAAGAGUUUGAAGUUUCAUCAACUCGUAGAGUUAGAUUUAGUUAGUUUAUGUUACAAUAUUGUAUUACAUUGCACGUUUAUUUUAAUAAUUUAGUUUCUACUGUAAUUUUGCAUAUAUAUUGGAGGGGUAAAGGCUCAUUAUGUCCCCCGGCUAGGUGUAUCAUUUUCUUUCAAUUAAUAAAUUACUUUCGCACCGUCGAGAUUCUCUAUUUUUUUUUUNNNNNNNNNNNNNNNNNNNNNNNNNNNNNNNNNNNNNNNNNNNNNNNNNNNNNNNNNNNNNNNNNNNNNAAUGGGAACAGUCUGGACCCUAGACUGUAGUUUUUUUUUUUUUUCUAAUAUGGAUCAGAACGGAAUGCUUAUAGACCCAAAAUAAUCAUAUAGACUUUAGUUUAUGUUUAUGGGUUGGGCUCUCAAAAUCUCAAACACAUGCAAAUCAUAAAGGCUAUUUUCACAAUUAUCAAAUGAGUCAAAUCUGCUUCAACUAAGCCCUUUUGAGCUCUCUGUUUGUGGAGAUUAGGGAUUUGGGGAGUUCAUCUGUCCUUCUUAACCGACUAUGAGCGAUGAGUGAAUCUAAAGCCGGAAUAACAAAUUCACUUGUGAUUGAGACGCAUUUGUCUAUUACAAUCCCUUACAACUGUCUACAAGGUGAGCAAGCUUUAAUUAAAACCUUAUAAAGGACUCUUCUCUGUGCCACCGUAAACAGUUUAUUACGAAAGACUAAAUUGAGAGUUCCUACUUGUACGACUUGUAUGCUAUGACAUCUAAUUAAAUCGAUCACUCAUUGAUCCAUCUUAUUUUCACAAGGUACGUGAAACUCUGGCUACUGUGCCAACUUUUACUGAUCUACUGAUUUUCGUUCUCUCCGGAAUGCACAUAUCUAAUCAAAACAUGAACAAGGUUUUUAGACUAAAUGAAAUUGCAAUUCUCCUUUACUAUGUGCGAUAUGAAAUUUUUGUUUGGAGAAAUGAAGUUAGAAAAGACUAUAAACAAAAGGCUUCGAUUGUACAAUGAUUGAUUGUACUGUCAAUUACUUUUUUUCCCCAACUUUUAGUUCCUGGCUAGCUUGGAUGUGAAUCAUUUUGACUCGGACCUUUAUGAACAGAAGUUCCAAAACUCCCACUGACCAGAUUUAUUUAAAUGAAAUAUACAAUAAAAGAGGGAUUAUAAUCAUGCCAAAUAUCUUCUGGAUCUUUUCAUAUUAACCUCAAUCGUAAAGUCAUGGAUGGAGGUAAUGAAGCACGCAUAAGAUAAUUAGGGAUGAAAGUGGAUUCGGAAAUGCAAGAAGAUAAUGACAUUUGUAGCAAAAUAUGGCAACCGCUAGUUAACUAUAAACAAGAAAGAGAUACAAGUGAUUAACAAACAUUAUUAUAACUUUUGAGAAAUAAUAUCCCACAACGCAAAAAACAAAUAAAUAAGGACAACUGAGGCCUUAUCAUAGGAGGGUAAUGGAUUUAAGAUGUAACAUCUAUGUAAAUGCUGCGUUGCAAUCGAUCAAUUCUACAUUGGAACAUCGUUGUUAGCUAGUGCUUACAGCACUAAGAAAAAGAAUGAAGGGUUUAUAAAGGCACUUUGAGAUCUUUGCAAGGGGAUCGAAUUGAGGUGUUAUCUUUAGCCUAACUUCAAUAAUUUUAUGGUCAUGAUUUUGUCUUAGGAUGUUUCCUUUGUUCGUUGAAGUACACACUUAGAUUGAUUUUUCCACAAUAAUUAAUUAUUAAAGAAUAAACCGGCCGGGGAGACGCUUAGCUAUCAUUGAUCAUUAAGCUAUUCAAGUUCAACCCCCUCAUGAUCAUUAGCAUCAAGUGGGAAAUCUUUUCUAUCUUCAUUCCCGAUAAGUUCUUAGGUACCUUAUUAAGAAGAAGAUAAUUCAUCAACAACAAAAUGAGAGUCGGAAAGAUGGUUAUGAAUUACGGGAGAACAGCCUCUUGCACUUCUCUGGUCGCCUCGAUUUUUGCCGAAGUGUAAAAAUGAUCGUCUUUGAUGGAAUCGUUCUCAAUUUUUUUUUUUUUCAUGCAACUUUGGUUUUUAUUUUAUUUUAUUUUUUUUAAAGGAUUUGGAACCCAGAUGUAGGUAGUCAUUGUUUCGUAGCAUGUUAUUCACGCAUUGUAAUUAAUUAGUGGAAAUACUUUAACCGUAAUGACGAAAAGUAUAUAUAGGCAGCAUAGAAGGACCUAGACAGAGACACAAAAUCAACCUAUUUAUGGGCAUGCAGCUCCACGAAAUACAUAAAAAAAUAUAUCAAAAUAUCACAACAGAAACAACACUAAGUUUUUUUGAUCCAACUAUCUUUGCUAGUUGAUUAACUAAUUAGUUCUUAAUGCCCUACUUUACAAAAUAUUAAACUCCAUAGAAAUCUAGAAAAGAGAGGGGAGUGGAUUACCCAGAUUUUUACUUGAUCGAUCGAUCGAUCAUCCAAUCCAACCAAGGUGGUUUCUACUGCUCGGUGGGGAACACUGGUUUCUCUAUAAUUACACAGAAUUAGGGUUUCAGUGGGCUUCAGUGGGUGGGUUUGGCACUAGGCGAUCAGGAUUUGUGGGCCCCGGAUGAAUCAUUGCCAGGCCAAUAAAGCUCCACAUGUCACAUCACAGAAAAGGAAUCGGGCCCCACUUGUUAUCAUGCAGCGUCUGGUUUUUUUUCUUCCUAGCGGGAACCCUAGAAACCCCGUAGAGAAAGCCAUGACAUUUCGUUACUGUGUCGGUUUUUGCAGUUGGCCUCAUUACCAGUUAUAACCGCUGCUGUUUAGAUUGCCGACCCUCCCGCUCUCCUUUCUAUUUUCGGCUAACUGGUUCUGUUACUACUUCUGUAAUAUUCCUGAGGGCUGGUGGUGAAAGCUUUGUUCGUAGUGCCAACAGCUAGCAGCAUUCCAUCAAUCUUUUACUUCAAAACGUUGAUCACACAAGAGAGAGAUGCCAGCGGACGACGACGAUUAAGAUGUGGUCCGAGUAUAGUACAGGGGUGGAUGGUAAUGUGGUUUUUGGCUUGAUGAGAAGGUUGUGACAAGAUAUAUACAGAUCACGGAAAUCUAGCUUUCAUUCGUCAGUAGCCUUCUGAUCAAUGAGAUGAACACACUCAGCAGUUCAUCCAUUACUGAAAGUUUUUUGUUAAUUAAGAGACAUUUGACCUCGAUGUAAGAAAGGAACGAAACAGGAUACCCUGAAACAGCUACAAGCGUAUACUGGAAUGCUUCAAGAAUGGGAGAAUUCUAUUUCAGCAUACUUUACCAACAGAUUUCUUAGCAGUCAGCACCAAGAACUCCUCUAGACACAACUCAUUUCAAACGACUACUGCAAACUCACUAAUCUAAUCAAAUCUCUAACUAACAAAACUUCAUUGCUCCGUACGUAGAAAAAGAAAAAAAUUAAUCAGCAAUUCCCCCACUCAACCCAUAAUUGGCAAGGCACCAGAUGGUGCCAUUGGGUCCAAGACACCAGAUGGGGCAGUGGAAAAAAGUAUACAAGUAACAACGACUUCUAAAGUUCUAAUCCCCACCCAAGCUAACUCGAUCGAUCGGUAGCCUUGAUGAUAGACUGCCAUAACCUCUGCUACUGCCGAACUAGCAAUAUUAAAACUAGAACAAAACGCAUCAAGAACUCCAUCUUUAAAAUCAAGAAAUACGAGGAGGAUGUUAAGCACGAACUUAUUGACUUUUAGCCAACCAAUUAUAUGGGGAUGUCAAUUAGUUUCCAAAAUAUGCAUGGAGCUUAAUUUACGACGCUAGCUUGCAAGAUGGAACUACUUUUCAAAUUGGAGAUGUAAGUUUUCAUUUGAAAUGUGCAAUCGGUUCUCUUAUCUAUAUAUGUAAGAUCACUUUCGUAUGUCCACAUUUCGUAUAGUACGUUUUUUUCAUUACGUACAUCUGCAAAGUUUUUGAUUGAACGCCGGUUUCGGUCACGUCAGGUACUACCUCUCAGGUAGGUUUAAUUUGAUUUCAUUUGUCGUAGGUUUAAAUAUGCAUAUUUAUAUUGGGUCCGGUUUAGGAGACGUAAUUUUUUACACAAAUUUUAAAAUGCUCGACGGUUCAGAUUUAUUGUCUAAAUGGUGUCAUCACAACACCAAGUGAUAUGAAAAUUACAUGGCAUUACAUAUCAGUAAAAUUGUCUUGUUGGAUGCUAACAUCGAUCCUUGCAAAACCUAACCCUAACGAGAGAUCGAGAAAGAGAGAUCAUUUAUCGGCUUGAUUAGUACUACUGAUUUCAGUAAAUAACGAGUCCACGAUUUGUUUGAUCAGCUUUCGAUGUAUUUAGCUUUCUUAGGCCAUAAGAAAAGUACCUAGUCGAACAAGAUCGAAGAUGAGUACUCUAAUCUCUGGUCCACUGGGAUAUUGUCUUCAAGUCAUCACCGGCCUAAUAAGAAGUUCACCACGACUUUACCUUCAAAGAUACCACAACAAACAUAUAUCUCCACGCAUAAUCAUUUUCAAUAACAGAAUCUUUGACCCCCAAUUAUUUUUAUCGAAAGAAUAUUUGACCCUUCAAUCAAAAAAAAAAAAAGUCUUAUUAUCAUUUGAGAUUUCAAUUUAACCAAAAAGUUAGAAGAGCUCCAUGUGAAAGUUUCUUGUCAAACAAAUACAGGUGCUUUUUUAUGUGCGAUGUGGUCCAAUUUUGAGCGAUCCGAUUGAUCGACAUGUAAAAUUCGAGUGCCUCAAUUAUUAUUUUUUUCCCGAUUGUGUUACCUUUUUUGAAGUGGAUGACUUUUUGGUACAUUUUUGUUCUUUUUAGAAAAUUAAUACACCAAAUUACAAUAUACCAUUCCACCAAACACAUGCUCUGCUACAAGCAAAUUAAGUAGUCACUACUAAUGCAACACUAUAACUAGUUUAUGAUGACCAUGCUAAUUGUUGCUUUUGUUUGAGUUUUAUGGCCCGAUACAAGUGAAAGAUGUGUAAUGAAAAAGUCUCACCGAAAAAACAGACAUAAUAACAUAAGAAAUUAAUAUAAUACCGAGCUAAACGAUUCACACUUGUUGCUAAUGUGGGAUACCUACGGCUUUAUAUAUAUGAGUAUGACGUUUUUGUAGUUCAACUUGUUGCUAUCGCGCGCAGCUUGAAUUCCUAGUAGACCGAGAGUAUUUGCUUAGGAGAAAGAAGUAGCAACUUUUUUUUAUUUUUUUUUAUCAAAUAUUAUAACUACGUGAGUCAAACUCUUAAUUUCUCACUUACUAGGGGAGACUAUGUUGCUAAAUGAAAUGGUAUUGGGCAAAAAAAUAGUAAUUUUUAUUUGAUUAUAUUCUCCCUAUAUAUCAAAGUAACAUAAGAUCAUGCAUGUGUAGAUGACUCUGAAAAGGAAAUGACUUGGACAAGUGGCUAAGUGACCAAGGGGCGUGGUGCGGGGGAAUACUUGUGGAAGCUUCUAUUUUCUCGUUUUCUUUGGCAAAGCGUGGAAGUUUCUUUCAUCGCUUUAAAUGAAUCCUUGAGAAAGAUGGCAAUAUUUCGACGGACGUAGGUAGUAGAAAUCAAACAAUAAAUUUUAUAUGUUAAAGAGCAAAGUGAAAAUGAUUCUAACGUACAUAUAUUCCCAGUGGCAAUAGGGACUUAAUCCAGGUGAGUAUAGGUGUAAUUGGAAUAAUAAUCUACUUUUAUGAUUAGCAUUUUGCAUCUUCUUUCAUUCUAUAAAAAUGAUGAUGUUCCUGUAUUCAUAAUCGCAUAAUAAUAUGCACGUUUAGGUUAAUUGAUAGCAAAGUUUUGUACUUCCAGAUAUGGAUGCUAAAGCUAGUUUAUGGUUUUAGUCAAAACGUUCAAUAUGAAAUAAUUUUUUUCGUGCUUACAAAAUUACGUUCAAACCAAACCUAGGUUAGUAAGUUUAUGUCGACAAAUAAUACCUGUAUAGCCAUGGAAUGGAUCUACAUUGUUUUCCAGAACCGACAAUAUAACCAAAUGAUCAUGCUAAAACGCCCGCUAGCUAUAGAUCUAGCUUCUCACUUUUUAACAAAAUUGGUUAAUGAACAAAUUAAUCAUUCAAGGCUAGGCCGGAGCGGUCAUUUUCUCUGAUUAUCACAAAAACCCUCUAAGCAAUUUGGCAUAUAUUCUCUCAAGAUCGAUACAAUCAAUCGAUGAAAUCGACAUAUUUUAUGUAAGAGAAGACUGAUUAUUCUCAAUGCAUUAUAAGAAAGUUUUGCAGAGAUAUACAAGGUGAAUAAUGCUGCGAUAGUUUGCUUGCUUGAUGCUUGGUUAUAGUUUCCUAGCUACGAUCAUUUCCUUUGUAUUACUGAGCUUCCUUGGGGAAUCAGAAAACAAAUGAAAGCAGGAGAUCGAACAUUAGCUAGACAAAAAGAGAAGUGAUUACUUGUUGCCAAAAAUGAGAGAGGUUGCUUAACCAAAAAGUUAUUCCCCGAUUCUUCAAUCAAGGGCCUAAUUACAUGUCUUUUAAUCGUCCUUAUAUAUGAUGCCUGCCUAACUCUGAUCUACUUUUUUUGACAAUCUUCGGCUACCUGAAUAUUUUGAUAUACUUGUCCAUCACGUUCGGCUUCAAACUUCAAAGCAUCUAUUUGCCACCGACUUUGACUAAUGCCUCUUACGAACAAAUGGCCAUGGAAACUAAUUCUCAGAAGGAAUCAGAAAGACCUAGCAGCUGAGCUAUAGCAAUAUUUUUAUAUCAGAUAGAUCCUAAAGAUUUAUAUAUCGCUUAAGAAUAGGAAGGUUCAAGCAUUUGAGUGAUUCUACGUACGUGUUCAAUUGAUGAAGUAGUCUGGGGUGUACGUGUUCAAUUGAUGUAGUUGAUAAAGUAGUCUGGGGUUCACAUCUAAAACCAAUUGGCAAUGGAUGGAGAUGCCCAAACCCUUAUUAACCCACAAGCAAGGUUCCAUAUUCCCGAUGUGGGAUUGAUAUUUCAACACACGCCCCCGCACAUGUGGAGAAUUUUCAAGCCUAACACGUGGACAACAUUUUGGGUGACGUGGAGUGCGUGUGGCCUUUAGGCUUCACACGUGAACGUAGGUAACCCGCUCUGAUACCAUGAUAAAGUAGUCUGGGGUUCACAUCUAAAAUCAAUUGGCAAUGGAUGGAGAGACCCAAACCUUUAUUAACCCACAUGCAAUGUCUCAUAUUCCCGAUGUGGGAUUGAUAUCUCAACAGUAGUAGUCUACGGUUCACAUCUAAAACCAAUUAACAAAUGAUGAAUUGGCCAAACCAUUAUAAACUCAUAGAGAAUGUCUCAUUUUUCCUGACGUGAGAUUUAUAUCUCAUAAGACAAUACCAUCCGUGCGGCUUUAAUUAGAUGAUGUUAAGUAUCCGCAUCUGCCCUCGAUCAAUCAAACUUGUGUGAGCUAUAAACAUACUUAAAAUCGCAAGUGUUCCGCAAGGUUGUAAAAGAAAACUGGAUCAUAGAAGUGCCGCAAAGGUGAGAUUACGUAAUAGAGUGCAGCUGACUCAAAAUAUGUCGAUCUCUGUAUUUUAGUGUCGACUCCAUUUGGGGUCAGGUUGGCUUUUCUCUUUUGUCAAAGGACGUCAGUCAUAUGUUGUAGGCAUUUGUAUGUCACCAUAUGCAAACUAUAUAUCUAGCUUAAUUUAGCCAGAAAAAUAAAAGCUAUCCUUAAUUUACAGAUGGUUAAUUAGGAAACUUCCAUCAUCUUUCUUGACACCCGAAGUUGAAACAUUUUUUCCAAACAACAUAAUUUUAAUCGAAGAAGAAGAAGAAAAAGAGAACCAAAAGUUCCAACAUGUUCAAACCUGACUUUGAGUUUCAGGCAAAAACAAAAAGCUCAACUUUUGAAGAAAAAAGUGUAUAUACACGAAUAUAUAUACACACACACAUGACCACUCGAUCUAAUAAGUUCAACAAUGUCGACCUUGAUCCAAAUUUCUUUAGAAUAUUCCCACAGGCUGCAGAAUAAUAACACACUGUUCAAUGGAACUUUAAGAAAAUGAAUGAAACCAGAAUACAAGAAAUUAGGAUUUGAUAUCUAAUUGAAAAGUCAUUAACAUUUCGAUCUCUCUCUAUUAUCGCAGCUGGUUUUGAUAUAAACUAGGUACGUACGUUCGAAACAGUAACUGCGGUAAGGUUAAGUUUCUGUGUACGUAGAGCGGCUGCUGCUGCUGGUUUUGUAGUUUCAGUAUCGCAGCUGGGGACUACAACGGGUGAUGAAUGUGGUGGAAAAGUUCUUGGUAUUAUAUAUGCAAAGUCUGUAAGAAUUUGAGCUCAUUUUCUUUUUUGUUUCGAUGAGUUAAGAAUGUGAGUCCAUGCUUCCAGCUUCUUGUGAAAAAGUCUUAUCGAACAGGUGUAAACCACAUGCCUAAAAACAUCUAGCUAUGUUUUCUCACUUGCUGGUUUUCCAAGUUUGACGAUGACCCUUUUCCUUCGUACUAAAUAUAUUCAAUAGUUAACAUAUUGUUUUGUUGUCAUCUAAAAGAAACUAUGUAUUGUUUUGUUUUGAAACUUAACCCUAAGUUCUGUGACGGCGUGUCCAUGUUUUAGGUUCUACACUUAUCUUGAGAAGGAAUGUUUUUUUGUUGAUAGAAAAAUAGAAGAAGAAGAUAUAUGUUGAGUUGGUAUUAACAAUUGGUCAAUAACAACUUAGUGAUUAUGCUUAUGUAGCUCGGGAUAUAGGUGCAAAUAUCCCCCAGACGUUGAGCUUAAUUUGUUAUUGUCCUCUUCAUAGUUGUUGGUUUCUUUACAGCUUUAUUUCUUGGUUUGUAACUUAUAAUGUUCCUUGCUUUGGUUUGUUUCGUGGCAACAGAUCUUCAAGGUUGUUCCAUUAUAUUGUAUUUUCUUGAUCAUUGUUCAUUGACUGGCUUUGGUUUGGCUCUCCAACUAUCUUGUAAUUAUUUUCUUCUAUUCAAUAGAAUUUCGAGAAAAGACGAGUUAAUUCUUUCUUCUGUUUAAAAACAAAAUCACAUCAAUAAACUGACUAUUUCAUUGCAUUAUCAAUCUUAUAAAAGGAAUUCAAUAGUCACCAAAAAAUGAAAAUAUAUAUACAAUGCAUUUGUCCUUUUCUAUAGGGUAAUGUUAGGGUUUGUUAAUGCAUGUGAUGCAUCGACUUUGUUCUCAAAUUAUAAAAUGAGUUCUCAAAGUUGUAAUAUGAGUCAUUAAAGUUGUAAAAACAAAUUAUUUACAACAUUAGUCCUCAUGUGUCUUUAAAGUGAUAAUUGGGUCAUCAAGCCUCAAAGUUGCAAUAUGAGUCCUCAGAGUUGUAACAACUUUUUUUUAAUCACUUUAAGAACUCAAUUACCACUUUAAACACACAUUCUUACUUUAAGGACACAUGAUGACUAAUGUUGCAACUAGAAAAUUUUACAACUUUAAAUACUCGUAUUACAACUUCAAGGACUAAUAUUACUAGUUUGAAGACUCAUUUGACAACUUUAGGACAAAGUUGAUGCAUCACAUGCAUCAUAAUUCUUGCAUUUCAAACAUUAAUUUCUACAUCACACAACUAUUCACUUAACGCGCAUGAGUCUCUGUUUCAUGUUUCUUAUAUUUACAGGUCUAAUUCAAGAAUCACUAUUGCAAUUUAGACAAUCAAAAAUUGUUUAUCCAGUGUAUAUAUCAAUACAUACAUUUUGACAUUCAACUGAAAAUAUUGUGUCGUUAAAUUUGUUAGAAAUUAGUUUUUAAACUCUAGAGAAUUGUUUGAAAUUUUAGACUUAAUUCAUAUUUUUCAUAUGUCAAUAUAAACAGGAACAUAUGCAUAUAGUCUUUUGCUCUAAUUCAGAUCGACAUGAUAUGCAUUGCAAAAUAAGUUGUUUUUUAAAAAAAAAAAAAUAGGGGCUAAACGGCCGCUCUCAUGCAUUCAUGCAUUGCAAAAUAAGUUUUGUAUAUAAGUUUUUGAAAUCUCAUAUUUAAGACUCGUUUAACAUGUUUUUUUUUUUUGCCACAGAUUGAUUGUGUUUGUACCUGAUUCCUGCAUUUUGCCUUCUUGUUAAAACUGCACAUGAUUUCUUAUUGUAACAAAUCUACCGAUAAUUAAUGGUUAAAAUUAACAAUCAGUCUAAGGUGUUUCUAAUACUACUAGACUUGAAGUGGUCCUUGUCCAUUUUUUUGAACAUAUAUACUUGCUAGUGCUCCAAAGAUAGUGCCAGACACUGUCUUUUUUUGCAAUGCUAAAAUAAAAAGGUUACUUGAAUCGGGACGCACAUAGGCGAAGCUAUGCACAGGCUAAAAGUGGCCAUGGCACCCCCAAAACCCUUUCCUCUAUAUGUAUUUUAUCAUUUGAAAUUGGUUUAUUCACUUCAUACUUGUGAUCAUCUUACACAUUGGCACCCCUUAAUCCUAAAGUUUGGCUUCGCCAUUGGGGACGUAGAUAAUUGACCCUCUUCUCAGCUAGAAUUAAAAUACGAGCAAUAUAUAAUGUGUAUAUGGAUUGUAAUUUGAGUAUUAUCUGACAAAUGAGAGCAUUGCAACAUAUUUCAUUUGGCAAUUAGCCAAUUUCGGAUAGCAAUUAUCCCGGAUAUGGAUAUAUAUAGAAGAUGACUUAAGCUUGGUGUUAUUCUCCUGAUAAGAAAAUUGUUGUCAAAACAAUUACUUGAAUGAUGGCAAUAUGUACAUAUCCGAAUAUUUCAUAAAAGGUCUCUGUACAUGCAAUAUCCACUUAUAAGUUUUAUUUUUAUUUUUAUUUUUUUGAUUUGAAAAUUUUCCUUCCAGACCCCCUCACGUGAAAUCUGACUUUUUAAGUGUGCACGUGAAAUACAUUUAAUCCAAUUCCUACAUUGGAAAUUGGGACACAAAUUGCAAUUCAUUCAACAACUUGAUCAAUAUACGAUUCAAGGCCUACUACAGAUACUUGAUAAGAAACCAAUCAGAAUUUUCAGAUGGUUAUACGAGGUGAUCGAAGGGGAGAGAGAGCGCCACGGCGGGAAAGGCUGGUGGAGGUGGUCGUCGGGGGAGAGAGUGAGGAGAGAGGGAGAGGAGAGAGAGCUAUGAGAUCGGGAAGAGAGAAGAGAAAAUGAUAUGAUAUUAGUGUUAAUGGGUAGAUUCGUCAUUUUCUUUAAAUUAGUUGGAAUGGGCACUACGUCUCUUGGUUUAGUUCAUAUGGAUAUAGUCAUUACCCCUCUAUUUAACUUAUGGACCAAGUGUUGUGGCUGUGGGCCACGAGACUAGGUCUUAUAAGUUAUAUAUUUAAAUAACAAAAUAGUUUCAAUAUAACUACUUUUGUAACUAGAUUUGAAUUUCUAUUAUUUUAAAAAAGAAACAUCAUUAGCCCUCUAUGUCGCCUCUACUUAGUUCUAGAAUCUCGAUUGUGAAGAAUAUCCUCGUCCGACGACGUUACACCAUUGUCGGAGGUGGCCUCGGCCACAACGAUUUAGUGCUGCUGGACGGGUGUUUGCUCUCGGUAUUUCAUUUUGGACAAAAACAUUAGUAAUUCCACCACCAAUUAGCUUAAAUAUCUAAAACUCUCAUUGUUCCUCUACUAUGCUAAAGCACCAAAUUAGCCGUACCUAAUUAGGCAUGGGUUAAUGUCAAUUUUCGUGGGCACCACAGCUUUUGUUAAGCAUUAUGAUUUUGUGUUUGAUAAGCUAAUGACAAGAAGGUUUGAAAGUAUGGUUAUUAUUGGGUGCUUGUGUGUUUUGGUAGGGUCGCACAAUGGUCCGUCGGAUUUUUCUCUAUAAUUCAUAUUUUGGCCGAAAAGUACAGCCCAGACCCGAAGAGUGAUAUUUUCGUCGGCUAGUGUGUGCCCCUCUCUGAAUCGCAGUUAUAAAUUGACACAAGCUAAGCCUCUUCUUCCCUCACAGACUUGUCCGAGUUGAGUUUGAGUUUGACUCGUGCCGAGUUGAUAGUGGUGCGCGUGUGUGAGAUUUUCCAACCUUUUUCCCAGGUUCUGUUCCUAUUUAAACCCCCCCCCCCUAACUCUGUUUCAAAACCCACAUUGCCUUCUCUCUGUUUCCCUUUCCAGUCCUAACAGCCUUUCUCUCUUUCUUUCAAGUAAGUCUCGAGGUAUGAACACUUUGAGGUUUUACUUAUUUUACUUUGUAAUGGAGGCAGAGUGUGAAAGAUUCAUCAUUCAUGGUUUGUUUAUGUGUAUGUAUGCAGGGGUUGAGAAACUUGUUAAAGGAAAGAAAAAUGACCAACCAAAAUGUACUUGUUUCCGAUGUCAAAGGCGUGGCUAUGGCUGUCGCUGCCAUGAAGAACCAGUCUAUGUUCUCUUCAUCGGUGGCGAGUUCCAUGAUUGAAUCAGGAGGAGUUGCAGGGUGUAUUUUCACCAUUCCCAGGAGUAUUAAGCUCUUGAAGGUUGAGACUGCUGAAGUUGGUGGUGGAGCUGCCCGAGUCAAUGCUUGGGUGGACUCAUUGAGAGCUUCUUCUCCGCCGCGUGUUAAAUCCACCACCACUUCCCCCUCCACUCUUUCUCAAACUGGGGAUGAAGAAAACUCUUGGAAUGUAAGCAUUGGCCUUUGUAUCAUCUCUCUGGUUCUUAAAUUUUAUUUGCCUAGCUGUUAUAUAUGAGUUGAUGAAAUGCUUUUGUAAACAGCUUCGUCACCCAUCAGCUAUAAACAUGUUUGAGGAGAUUACAAAUGCUUCAAAGGGGAAGCAGAUUGUCAUGUUUCUUGAUUACGAUGGAACCCUUUCUCCAAUUGUUCAAGACCCUGACAGAGCCUUCAUGUCCAAUGAGGUUUAUUAUUGAAUUCUUACUUGUAUGAGUGUAUCAGUUUGAUCCUAGCUAUAUUAUUACAUGUAUAACACUUAUAUAUGUGUACCAUCUUCAUCAUUCAUAGUCUCUUUGUCUUUAGCUAUGAAUUGAUUUGGCCAUUUUGGUUCAGAUGAGAAAAGCUGUGAGGGCAGUUGCUAGAUAUUUUCCAACAGCCAUAGUUAGUGGGAGGUGCCGCGACAAGGUACAAUUUUGCUUUCUAUUUUUCUAUUAAUAGAAAUGUUACUAAUAUGCUGUUUCACCAAAGCCAUGAAAGUUUUGUAAAUUACUGGAGUUUCUUAAUUUUUUGCAGGUUUAUAGCUUUGUCAAACUAGCAGAGCUUUACUAUGCAGGAAGCCAUGGGAUGGACAUCAAAGGACCAUCCAAAAGUAACAAGUACAAGAAUGUGAGUGGCUCCAGCCUCUAGUGACCCAAAAUAAUAUAAAGUUCUUCAUAUAUUCUUGCUUUUUUGGUGUACUUUAUAAUGAUUUCAAGUAACUUAUAUUCAUUGUUGAAUUACUCAGGCUAAUCAACAAGCAGUUCUGUGCCAACCAGCUAGUGAAUUUGUACCCAUGAUUGAUGAGGUUUGUUCAUAUCAUAUCAUCUGUUAAGAACAAGCAGAGAAGAGAAUAUGAUAACUAAAAGGAAACUGUUUGAGUGACUGAUUUAAUUUGUGUAAUUCCUGGCAGGUCUUCAAAAUUUUAGUGGAGAAAACCAAAUCCAUCUCAGGAGCUAGGGUGGAAAAUAAUAAGUUCUGUUUAUCUGUACACUUUCGUUGUGUUGAGGAGAAGGUAAACAUCAAUUCCCACUUUUCUAUCUUCUAUUUUUUGUUUUGGUUUGUUUUUAGUGAUCAUAUAAUUUGGUGGAGGAUACAAUCAUUUACAAUUUGUUUUCCUUUUGUAAUUGUCUUGAUUCUUACCAGAGUUGGGCUGCUCUGGCAGAGCAAGUAAGCUUAGUGCUCAAUGAGUACCCAAAGCUGAAGUUGACUCAAGGGAGAAAGGUAAGUAAAUUAUCUAGCUAGAUAAAUAACUUCCUAAUUGAAUUUUGCAUGGACACAAAAUUAAUUUUCCUAAUUGUGUUUCUUGGUCUGAGCAGGUCUUGGAGAUUAGGCCAACCAUCAAAUGGGACAAGGGCAAAGCACUUGAAUUCUUGCUAGAGUCAUUAGGUGAGUCUUGAGUAGUCGAUUUCUAUCUCCUUCUAAAUUACCCUUUGAUACAAUUGUUAAUUAUGUCGAUUUCUCCUUCUUAUAGUAUAUAUAAUGUGUAUUUGUCCUAUUAUCAAAUUAGGAAUGUUAAACUGUUGUUUCUAAUUAGGAUACGCCAACUCAAAUGAAGUAUUACCGGUCUAUAUUGGAGAUGAUAGAACAGAUGAGGAUGCUUUCAAGGUAUGAUCAGAUUGAUCAAAUGCCAUUAAAAUUUUAUAUAUUUUCAACAAGUUUUGUAUUUUGAACAUAUUUUCACACGUAUAAAUGAUAUAUUCCUGCAGCUUUUACGUGAUAGAGGACAAGGAUUUGGAAUUCUUGUUUCUAAAGUUCCAAAAGAAACAAAUGCUUCUUAUUCCUUGCAAGAACCAGCAGAGGUACGGACGUACGUGCAUAAGAAUACUAUUUUGGAUCCCAACUUGGAAUAAUUGGCACUUGUUUUGAUCUAAUUAAUUUGUUUGUAAAUAUAAUUAACAUGGUUUAGGUGUAUACGUACUUAUUCUGUCUAAUUUUUUUGAUAGGUCAAGGACUUUUUGCGACGUCUAGUGAAGUGGAAAAGAUUGACGCUGCAGUAACUAAAAGACGACUCGCAGAGAAUGGAAGCAUAUUUAGAAGAAAUUAAUCGAUUCCACCCUAAGAAUUUAGUCAAAGGAUGGCCGGCUUCAUGUUUAUGUAAUUUUCUUGUUAAGUUAGUUAUUAAUUAUCGAACUACUGAAUCCCUAAUCAAUUAAUUAAUUUUGGAAAUUGUAAAUAAAUUGCGUCUCUCUCGGAAUAUCUCAUUUAAUUUUCUUGCUAUAUAUCUAGCUAUUCGUUUACUCAAACCAUGUAUCCAUUGGUUGUCUUGCAUGGCAGUUUUUCUAAUUGUGAUGAAAGACACUUAAUCACUCCAUCUAAACUGAAAAGAAGCUACUCACUACAUGUAAGUUUUACUUAAAAUGACAACACUGUAUCUUUAGGAUAUAUUUCAGCUCACUAGUAGUCAUCAGUAUAGCUCUUCUUAAUUCGAACGAUAUCAUGCCAAGACCAAAGCGGCAUACUAGAAUGAGGUAAAACCUCGUAGCUAGCUUCAUCAUUAAUUUCCCUCCAACAUAAGAACUCGAUCGUCAAUCACUCGGUUCAUUAGUCGUAAUCGCAACAAGAAAUAACCUCAUCCAUCAGCUAAAAGUAUAUUGUUUUCUCAUAUUGUGAUGAACCAGAAAAGACAAAUAAUUUUCCUUUUCUUAUUUCACGACAGUUUGAUCAAACUAUUUUGAGUCAUUGGCUUUUACUUUUUCCCUAAUUGUUAUGGAAAUCAAGAUAUAUGGGCAGUACUUAUUUAGAUCCUAGCUACUCAAAAGAAUCACCUUUUAGCUAUAAUCUAAUUACUUUUCAACAUUUACUAACUAAUAGUUCAUUACAAUAAUUGACAUUGAGAGUGAAAUUAAGAUCAAUAUGAUCCUCUAUUGAAGGUGGGCAGAUGAAAUUACAUUUUCAAUUUUUUUUCUUUUUAACAAUUUAGUUACAGAUUAUUGAUUCUAAUUAUUUAAUUACCAACAUUUAGUUACUAAUAAUUCAUUCCAAUAAUUGAGAGUGAGAUUAAAACAGUCUAUAUACAUGAUCAUCUAAUUAAGUACUAUAGAGUAUACAUGAAGGUGGGCAGAUAAACUUCUUUUUGUUAUUGCUAAACAAUUUUACUACUUUCUUAACUGCGCGCUAGUUAUUUUUUGAUUAUUUUCUGUAUAAAGCUGUCUCGCAUGUACUAGGGAAUCCAAGAACUGAGCUUGGAGAUCAAGUUUGCUGCAAAUUGCCUAUAUAUAAACUGAAAGCAUGCACUGCUCUUUGAUCCUCUUCCAAAUCUAUUGGUCUGUUACUAAUUUCUCAUUUAUAUAAUUCCCACAUCAAAAUUAGUUUAUAUGCAGCAGUCAAAAGAACACAUUGUCAAUUCUUGAAGUGAGUGUUUCAUGCGACCAAAGCUCAUGUAUAUGUUGAAUCCUAAACCUCAAUAAUGGGAAGCAUCUGCCAGUACAGUUGGCAAAAUACUCAAAUAUAUAGCUAUAGUUAAGCAGAGUGGUGCUCUUGUGAUCGAUAAAAUACAAGCAUUUCUUGAGUUAAGGUAGACUUUGUGAUUUGUUUUUCAGUAAAUGAAGAACCCUAGGAAUUCUGUAACAAUAUAUAUGAAUUGCCGCGACAAAUAUUACCCAAACUAUAUGAACAAGUUGAUGCGAUAUGGAUUACGUCUGUGUAAAUUAAUCUGUAUUACUUAUUGGGAUGCGUUAUUCACUGUCCUCGGGUAUAGUAUCAAAUUGACAUCUUUGUUCUUUGGUUCUUUCCUGCAUUUAGUAGCUAGGUAUGUAUUCAGUAAUCAGUAAUCAUCUAUAUAUAUACCUAGUGGUACUGUGGUAACCAAUAACUCAAUAAGUAUCUUCUUAAUCUGGCCACAAGGAAUCGCGCACAUUUUUAUUCCUUUAAACCAUAAGAACUGAGAGUCCCGAUAGUUUUCCAUCUAUUGGCUCUUUUCCCGUUUUGGUUAAUCAUUUUGUCUUCACUCACCAAGGCUGUGCAUGAUUGUGUUAGAACGGAAUGUGCAUCUAGACCUAACAUUCUUAAGAAAAACAUAACCCAACUCGUGAAAAUUGAUUCUUGUACAAGCUGUUGUUUGCUUUAGAAAUUAUGUACAAAGGGCUUGCAUCUUUAUUACUAUAUAUAAUAUACAGAUAUCACAAUCAGCAAUAUGAAACAGAUAUUGCAUAAUGAUUAACAGAGCUAAUUGGGAUGAUUCUCUGAGCUGUUAGAUGAAGACUCAACUAUUUUUAAGAUUAGUGAAUAGUAAGGUUUAACACAUGCUUAUCUUUUUAAUAUAUUGUUCAACUAUCAAAUUGACAGUAGCAGGGUAACUGCACGCCUCUGAAAAUGGUAGGUUGGAUAAUUGAGUACAGCAUAUAUAAUGGAGGAUUCAUAUGAAAUGACAUAUCAGGUAAACAUUGCAUCUCUCUAUAUCACUGGAGAAAGGCUUUUCUUGGCACAGUGAUCAUCAGGUUACGAAUGAUUAAAGGAUGGAAAAGAAGAGAUGGAAGGAAUGUGAACUGACUGGUGAUGUGUUUUUGAGCAACAGGUACACAUGCAGCCGGUGAGUUGAAGCUGCUAGGUUAGUAUUUAUUCUUAGCUAUAGCCCCAUGUUAUUUAAUUUGCUUCCUUUCGUAGAUACCAGUUAUCUUCACCCUUCUAACAGACAAGAGAUCAUGGAGAGGAGCACGCACGAGACCCAUAGCUAUCUAGAGUUUAAGUUUGAUUAUAAAUUUCACAGAAAGAGAUAUGGCAACAUUAUAGGGCACAAAAUAAGAAAUACAUUACUACUAUGAUAGUGAACAUGAACAUUACUUUACACAGCUAAAGCAAAUAAAGAGCUUAUGCUUUUUAAGGGAUCGCACAUUAUAACCAAGUUCCUUAAUUAACUUGUUUAUGGAUAAAUUGAUCCCAAUAAUGAAAUGGUAUCUAUUUAAACAAAAAUAUAUAAGAUCCAAGGAGCUAGGUUAAGAUAUUAGAGGGUUAAAUGAGUGAACAGGAAGGGUGCUUGCUUUUGGAAGGAGGGAUAUAGACCUAAACCAUUGGGCACCAAGAUUUGGGAGAGCCCACAUCAAAAGAUUAAUGGAAUCUUAAAAGUAGUAGUUUAAUGGAUUCAUUUUGUCAAUAUUGAAAUGGGUUAUUUUCAUAGGGUUAGGUGGUGAGAGGGAAACCCACUAGCUAGCUGCAUAGGGGGUUCCAUAUGGUUGGAAGAGGAGUUGGAAUCCACUAAAAGUGCUUAACAUGAAGAAGACAUGGGGUUUCUUUAUGCUAUUCUUGCCAAUAUGUUAUCAAAUGGUUUUUCAUUUGUUCAUAUGAGAUUUAUAAGUAUUACUUACUCGGUAGAUAUUUUACUUAGUAUUUCAUAAAAUAAAUAUAUUUAACUAGCUACAACGUAACGCUCAUGUAUUGUCCCGUUAGAUUGUUAUAGUAAAACUUCUUAGAUGCGUAUUACGAUUUUAAACGUAUCAUUCUUGAACAUAUAUGUUAAAUACUUAGCGACAAAACAAAUUAACAUUUAUCACAAAUAUCUUCUUAGAUGUUAUUUACUUAUUUUUUUAGUACUGACCAUGAAUCUUUUAGUCAAUAACUGACUAUGUGAACACUACUAAUAUAUUUAAUGAAAUAUGACCGAUGUUUGAUCUUUAAGAUUAAAUAUAUUCAAAUAUGGAGGAAUUUCACCGUUGAGGAUUCACCCUCAAACUAAAUGUUUUACCCUGAUAUACACAGAAUAACUGAUCAAGGGAGUAUUCAAACAAUUAUAGCGCAGAAACAUCAUGAAAUAUUACUUAGUGAUGAGCAAAUUUAGUAACCCUAAAAGCAUUGCUAUUGGGGACACCUAGCACGGUUCCAUGCCAUAGGAAACCUCUGCCUCAUUCAGACGUGUAAAGAGAUUUUCCCACUAUAUUGCAUCCAUUAUUGGCACCUUAAACAGAAAUAAAUAAAGUCCUAUAGGCCCCCAAUUAUUGGUGAAAGAAAAAGAGCCACUUCUUCUCUCCUGCAGGGACAACAUAUUCAACCAACUCAAACUCUCUGUAUCACACUAUGCUUCUUGCAGCUAGCUUAGCCUUUAAUAUAUCAUCAUCAUCAUCAUCGAGUAUCAUCUAUGACAAAUGAAUCAAAUGAUGUGUCUGAAAAAACAAAAGCUAGCCUCUCAGGAGGCAGCAGGCAGAUUCUGAUCCCUUUUACUUCUUACUGAACCAUCCCAGCUCGGUCCCAACAAACUAACAGCACCUGGGAACAAAUGAAUUAAAGAAACCAAAACUUAAAGAUGCGAGGACCUCUGUGGAAGAUUAAAGCGUAUUGACCUUUAAGAUCAGUAGUGCAUGUACGUGUGUUUUGUAUUGUGGUUUCCAUGUGCGAUAGAAAGAAGAAGAAGAGCAGAAAAGGAUCUGUCUUUCUCUUUCAACGUGUCGAUCCUCAGCUGCUAUAUGAUGCUGUAGGAAAACUGGUCCCUGCAUAGAGGCCAGGGUUGGAGCUAGCUGAUCGACUUUGAUCAUGAUCAAGGUGGUGAAGAUCAUAUAUACGUAUAUAGUAAUUUAUAAAGAUCGAUGAUUUUAUAUAGUAAUUGAUGUUAUGGAUCGUACGGAGUUGGAUCAGUAAACAUGUGUUUACGAUUUGAUAAUUGGAUUAUCCAUGUGAGCAGCAUCAGUAGAACAGAGAUCAUGAUCUUCUAAGAGGAAGCAUAUGCGUCAGGUGCUUGCAUAGCAGGUAGCUUGGAGCUAAUCCCUUGCAAUUAUCGUAAGCAGUAGAGUUUUGGUUUAAGAAUUCCAACCAAGUAGCUAGGGGAGUUCUGUAAUGGGCUUCUGCUUGUCCGCAAACGAUCGAAGAAAUUGGUUAUUGGGUCAUAUGCUAACGUCAAAUGGACUCUGCACCCCAAUUGUGGACAUAUAUAUAUAUAUAUUAA
Molecule: long non-coding RNA, 76935 nt
Filed under: Fragaria vesca (wild strawberry)
Lineage: Eukaryota; Viridiplantae; Streptophyta; Magnoliopsida; Rosales; Rosaceae
Description: long non-coding RNA (FVES_LNC002320)
Source: RNAcentral